UUUUUUUGUAAUAAAGCUUAAAGAUAAAAUCUAUGUUAUCUAAAAAAUUUAGAAAAAUUAAAAAAUUAAAUUAAGAUCUAUGAUUUUCUAAAAUUUGAAGAAAAAAAUCUUUUGCAAGAAAAAAAUGUUUUGAAAGGAUUUUGAUACAAUUUGGGUAUUUUAUGAAAAAUUAAGGGAUAUUUGGAAGGCAAGACUUUAUAUAUAUGUUGAUUAUAGAGACAUAGAGCUAUAAAAAAAUUAUGAUAUAAAGAUGGAUAUUUACAAUAAGAUUAUGGAUUUAAUUUGAAUUUAUAAAAAAUCAAACUUAUUAGCAAAUAGUUAGUUAUGAUUUGAUAUAGUAAAGGAUGUUAGGCCAUUUCUAAAUACUUUAGAAAGCCUUAUGUAUAAAGCUUCUUAAAUGUAAAAGGAUUUUAUCAACAGAAUAAAUUUUGAUAUUAUUAUAUUUUUUUGGCUUUUAUAAUAAGAAUAAAUUAUUUAUUAAAAUUUUUCUAAUAUAUUAAAACUAAACUUUCUACAAUUAAGUAUCUAAUAUAUUCUCAAAUAGAAAAUCAUGCCAUAUCACACUGUAUAUAUAGAUCACAAGAACCUUUAGUACUUCAUGUUGAGACUUAUUUUGAAUUGUCACUAAGCUUGUUGGAACAUGUCUUUAUGUCAAGGAUAAAAACUUGAUGAAAAAAAAUAAUCAAAUAAGGUUCUUUCAAAGAAAUAUGAUAGAAUAGAAAUAGAGUAGUAUGUAUAUUAAAAAAGAAACUAGAAUGGCUAUUGCCAAAAGACAAGGAAAUUAAAGACUCUUGAAACUAGACUAGUAACAAGAAAGGAAUUGAAAAAAGUGAAAAAGGCUUCUUUCUUGCCUUUAUAUAUACUAUCUACCUAGGAUAUAUGUGGCGAUAUUCUAUAGGACCUCCAAAAAUGUGUUGACUUUGCAUGAUACGUAUCUUAACUUGUAAGGCAAGUUUUCUAUAUAGAUACCAUAUAGUUAGUUUGUUCUGCAAGCUAUCAAUACAUAAGGCACGUGAUUGGCUUAUUGACCAAGUUAUUAACCUACUAAUUAAGUAUAAACACAUGUAAAGUCAAAAAAAUAUCUAAUAAGCUUCUAAGAAGCUUUCUUAGAAGGUAUUAUAAAAUUAAUCUAUUUUUAUCUAUUUCAAUCUAUUCAUAUUAUCUACGUAACAAUUAUAGUAGAUAUAUAUCUAUGAUAUUAUCUCCCUUUCUUGGAAUGAGUUUUAUAAGGAUCUUAAUCACAUGUUGAAGAAGUCUAAGAUAUAGCAAAUCAUAUUUGCUACAUAUUCUAAUCUUUGUUUCCUUUAAAGAUAGUUGUUAGGUCCUCUCAGCUAUUAGUAAUGUCCCAUUCUAAGGCAAAAAGACUAUCCUAAGAUUUAAUCAUUGUUGAAAUCAUUUGAUAAAUUAACAAAUGAUGGCUCUUGACUUAAAUCUAUUAGUUUUUGGUUCUUUAUCUCUUUAAUGCCAUAAUUAUACAUAAUACAAUGAAGGAUAAAAUGUAGAAUGCAAUCUUUUUUAAAUUAUCUUUCUUUUAUAAUAAAGAUUUGCUAUCCUUUAUCUUGAUUUUGAUAGAUGUUGUGAAUGAAAAUCUUUAAUCUUCUCUACUAUAUCUAUAAGUUUUUUUACUUGCUCCCAUGUAUAUUUAUUAAUAUUAUAUCCAUGCCAAUAAAUAAAAUAUUUUAACUAAUAUCAACACCAUCUUGGAUCUAAGACUUCUUCUAUCUCAAAUUCUUCAUUAUUAUCUACUUUUAUAGGAGGUGGUGGUAUUUAUCUUCUUCCUAAGAUAUUCAAUAUCUUAUAGGCUCUAAAAGAGAUAUGUAAAAUAUAUGAUGGAUUUUCAUAGACUUCGAUAGAUAUAAUUGAUAAGUAAUGGGAUUGAUUUAUUCACAAAUAAGAAAUGAUCAAAAUCUAUAAUAAUCUAAUUUGUCACAAUGACGAAUAGUUCUAAUAUUACAACAAAGUAACCAUACCUUAUCACCAACAUGGAAAUGAGGUUGUUUUUUGUGAUAAGCAUCCGCAUUGCUCUUUUUUUGUUCUUGAGCUUCUUUUAGUUGCACCUUUAUUAUUGUAUGUAGCUCAAAUAAAUGAUUUGCUAAAUCUUUUGCUACAAGAUUAUCAACUUUUAAAAAGUCAAAAGCAUCAAGUCAUAGAUGAUAAUCAUAAUAAGUAAAAAAAGAUGUUUGUGGCAUAGAAAAAUAUACCAUAUUAUUAUAUACAAAUUCUACCAACGGCAAAGGAAUUGUCCAAUUAUCUUAGUGGUAGUUGAUGGUAUACCUCAAAUAUUGCUCCAAAACUUGAUUAAUACACUUUGUUUAUAUAUUACUUUGAGGAUGAAAAGCUAAAGAUAGUUUAAUGUCUCAUUUUAGGAUCUUAAUAAGCAUUUUUUAAAAACUUGAUACAAAUUGGAUUCUCCUAUCCGAUACAAUAUCCUUAAGUAAUUCAUCAUAAUAAUAGAUGUUAUCAUAGAAAAGCUUGGCUAUUUUUUUAUUUGUGAUAGUUUUGUAUAUAAUACAAAAUGUGCCAUCUUGGUGAAAAAAUCUACUAUCAAGAAUAUAGAGUCAUAAGAACUUCAAAUUAAAAGGUUUGUAAUAAAAUCCAUAGAAAUAGAAGACCAUGGUUGUUUUGGAAUAAAUUAUCGUUGAAAAAGUCUAUAGGGUUGAUGAUAAGGAAUUUUUGACUUUGAACAAAUUUCACAUGAUUGAAAAAAGUAUUUCAUUGCCUUCUAUAUUUUUUUCUUCUAAAACUCUCUAGAUAUAAGUUUUAAAGUUUUCUUGUAUCCAAAAUGUUUAACCGUUGAAAAAUCAUGAUAUGCUUAAAGAAUAUAUAAACGUGCUUUUUUUUUGGAAUGUAUAGGUAUUCUUCGAAAUAGAGUAGGUUAUUUUUUAUUCAAAUUUGGAAGCAUCAUGAUACUUAAAAGAAAGAUUUUUGAUAUCAUAAAUAAGAACAUCAAAGGAUAUGCUUGAUUAAAUUUGCUUGACAAGGAUUAAAUUAAUAAUUAAUGUUAAUUUUAUUGCUUCAAGAUGAAUGUAUUCUAACUUCAAAAGAAUCAUUCUUUUUUGAUUAAAAGAUACAUCUCUUUCUUUUAGUGUAAGAUAAAAACUUCUAAAAAGAGCAUCUAAUAAAUCUUCUUAUUUUUUGAGUUGAUAAGUAAACUUAAGAUCAAAUCUUGACAAAGACAUGCUCCAAUGGACUUGGCAAUGAUUCAAAAGACAUGAUGAAAUAAAAUAUUCAAGAUUCUUAUAGUCAAUAUAGAGAUUGAUUGGAUUAAAAAUCCCUUCUUGAUAAUAGCACCAUUUUUGAAACAAAUCGAUAAUUGCAAGAAGUUCUUUCUUAUAAAUCUUAUGGUUGAUCUUGGCUAUUAAAAAUUUUCUUGUAUGAAAAGCUAUUGGAUGAAGUUUAUCAUCUAUUUCUAUUUGUGAUAAUACGACAUCCAAAAAAAAGUCUAUUGCAUCUAUUUCUAUAAUAAAUAUCUUUAAAAACUCAAUGCAAUAUAAGAUUGGUGCAAAAAUAAAGGCUAUCGUUAAAGCUUCAAAUAUUGCUUUUGCUUCUUGAUUCUAUUGAAGUUUGUCUUUAUAAGUCAAAUGUGUAAGUAGAGUUGCAACUUGAGAGAAGUUCUUGAUGAAGAUUUGGUAGUAAUUGGCAAAUCCUAAAAAACAAUAGACAUUUCUUAUUGUUUUCAAGAUCUUUUAAUCCAUAAUAAUUUGAAAUUUUUUAAGAUUCAUCAUAAGUCUAUCAUUUAAAUAAUGUAUCUUAAGAAAUCAACCUAAGUAAUUUAGAAUACACACUUUUUUAUCUUGGCAUAAAGUCUCGAAUCUCUUAAUUUUUGUAAUACAUAACAAAUAUGAAAUUCAUGUUCUUUUCUAUUCUUAGAAUAGAUUAAGAUGUUAUCUUAGAAAAAAACAACAAAAUCAUCUAAAAACUUUUAAAAAAAAUUAUUUAUUACAUGUUGGAAAGUUGCUACUAUAUUUGUAAGUCCAAAAGGCAUGAUAUUAUAAUUAAAAUAUCCAUAUUUUUUAAAAAAUAUAAUCUUUGAUUUAUCUCAUUUUUAAUGCGUACUAGAUUAUAUGUUCCUUGUAGAUCUAUUUUUGUAUAGAUAUUAGCUUGAACCAAUUGAUCAAAAAGUCUAGAUAUCAAAAGUAGUGGGUACCUAUUUUUAAUGGUGAUUUUGUUGAAUCCUCAAUAAUCAACACACAUGUGCAACGAUCCAUCUUUUUUCUUCUUAAAUAAAAUUACAGCUCUUGUUAGAGAUUUGAAAUGGCGCAUGAAAUUUUUGGCUAUAUUUUCUUUGAUAAAUUCCUUAAAUUCAGCAAAUUCAUUUUAAGAUAAACUAUAAAUUGGUCCAAAUGGCAAUUGAGCUCUUUCUUAAAUGUCAAUUGAGCAGUUAUAGGGACAAUAUUCAAAUAGAGUAUCUACUUUUUUUUUUUCAAAUAUAACUUGAAAAUCUUGAUAAUAGCUUGCAAUGCCACUUGAAGUCUUUUUACCAUUAGAGAUAAGAAUAACAUAAAUGACACAAGAUAAUCUUUCUUUUGUAGCAUACAAAAAAGUUCUUAUAUCUAUAAAUAUAAAUUUAAUUGUAUUAGACUUAUGACUUUUUACUUGAUCAAUUAUACUCUUAGUUAUACUUUUAGAAAAGUCAAGACUAUAAGAAAUCCAAUCUAUUUUUGAGUUAUAUCUUUAUAACCAUGAUAAACCUAAAAUAAUUAAAUUAGAAGGAGAUUUAAUGAUAUUAAAUAUUACAAAGCUACUAUAACCAUUAGUUGUUACUUCUAUACGAAGGAUUUCAUGAGUAAUAUUUCCUGAAGAUAAUGGACGACCAUCUAUGACUGUUAUUUGAACAGGUUUAAUUUUCUUCACUAUAGGUAUGUUAUGACUUUUAGCAAAUUCUUCAUCUAAGAAACACGUUGAGGUUCUUAAAUCUAAUAAGACAAAGGCUUUUUGAUGUUUAGGUCCUAAAAAAAAAUUUAUUGUAAAAUACAAAGAAGAUUCUAAAGAAAGAAUAGGGCCUUCAGUAGGUGUUGUACAAGGCUCCAACUACACGAUUCCUAUUAUAGCUACAUAAAUUUUUUUUUGGACAUAUUAUCUUCUUUGAUGGUUGUAUUUUUUUUUUGUGGUUGUAUUUUUUCUUUAGAUAAUAUUAAGUACUAUAUUUAGAUUCUUUAUAAUACAAAUACAAUCCUUUCUAAUAACAACGAGUCUUUUCUUGCUUAGUAAGAGGUUUAAAAUAUAUUGCAUCAAUUUUUAUAUCUUCUAUUUUUAAAUAUAUGUGUUAAAAAAAUAUUUGUAUUAUCAUUGAAUUAUAAUAAUAUUGAAGUACACUUUUGUGAUUCUUAAAUUAAAAUUUAAAAAGUCGAUUGUCACAACAAAAUCAAUUAUUUGAUUCAAUGUUUGAAGAUCAAAUAAGUUGAGCAUCAAUUUUUUUUACCUCAUAUUAUAAUUCAUAGAAAAAUUGGCUAACAAAUGCAGCAUCAUUUCACUUGAUAUCAGUUGCAAGUUAUCAAAAUUUUGAAGCAUAUAACAUUAUCAAUCGAUUGUCUUAUUGUAAAAUAUAGAUCUUAUUGAUUGCACACAAAUUACAUCAUAUUCUCUAUAUAUGGAUUGAAAAUUUGCAACAAGAACCUCUAGAUUAUCUAAUAUUAGAUCUCAUUCUUCAAAAAAAGAUAAAAACCAUGAUAAUUCUGAAUUUGAAAGGAGUAUAUCAAUGAAUCUAGUAAGCAAUUUUAAAAUUAGAUAGUUUUGGAAUUAAUGUCUAAUCACAAAUUGUACUUAAUUGAUAAAUCUUCAAGAUUUAGAUCUUAUGCCAUCAAACUUCUUAAGUAAUGCAAUCUUUGGUUGUCUAAUAUUGAAAGGAUGUUCUAUCAUAUGAAAAGGGACAUGAUUUGGUGCAGAUGUUGAAGCAGCUCUAAUCAUCUCUAUAUUUUUGUUCCUUUUCAUUUUAAUUGCUCCUUGUGGCGGUAAAUUGAGUUGAUGCAUUGCAAGCAUUAACUCCUUCAAUUGUUUUUGUAUUUGUGCUAUUGCACUCUUCAUUUUAAAAAGCUCUACCAUGAUAAUACUUAAAGAAAGGAAGAUGUUUGAUACUGCUUAAGACAAAUAAAAGAAAAGACUUCAAAAUAAAGAAAAAAAAAUACUAAAGAUAAUAUCAAUUUAAAAGAAGAUAAUCUAUAAUCUCUAAUAUGCUAAAGACUUAUUUACAAAAAAAGAUAAUCUACUUUUAAUUAAAAAAAGAUAAAUCUUUUAAAUUAAAAGUACAUUCUUGUCAAUUUGUCAAGGAUAAGAAUUCAAUGAAAAAAAAUAAUAAAAUAAGACUUUUUCAAAGAAAUAUAACAAAAUAGAAAUAGAAAAGUAUAUGUACUAAAAAAGAAUCCUAAAUAGUUAUUGCCAAAAGGUAAGAAAAUUAGAUACUCUUAAAAUUAGAUUAGAAACAAAAAAAGAAUUAUCGAGAGUAAAGAAGGCUUCACUCUUGCCUCUAUAUAUACUAUCUAUCUAAGAUCUAUGUGGCGAUAUUCUAUAGGACUUCCAAAAACAUGUUGCCUUUAUAUGAUACAUAUCUUGACUUGUAAGGCAAGUUUUUUAUAUGGAUGCCACAUAGUUAGCUUUUCCCACAAGCUAUCAAUACAUAUGAAAUAUGGUUAGCUUAUUGAUCAAGUUUCUAAUCUAUUAAUCAACUACAAACACAUGUAAAGUUAAAACAAUAUUUAAGAAGCUUUUAGAAAGUUUUUUAGAAUGUAUUAUGAAAUUAAUCUACUUUUAUCUACUUCAACCUAUUCAUAUUACCUAGGUAAAAAUUACAAUAGAUACAUAUUCAUGAUAGUUUAUUGAGAUUUAAUUUUAAGAUUACUUGUCAACCUAAAAAACAACAAGGUUUAUUUGAUGUCCUUUUUAGACGUUCUUACCUUAUACCAAGGAAAGAAGAUGUAUUUUAUAAUCAAUAAAGAAUAAUUCUCUUGAAACCAAGGUAUUUUCACCUCUAAGUAAUAAAAUCAACAUUGACUAUUGAUUCAAUCUUUGUCAAGCAAAUUCAAUCAAGUAUGUUGUCUAAUCCUUUUAUCUAUGAUAUGAAAAAUAAUUCUUCUAAAUUUUAUGAUACUUCUCAGUUCAAGUUCAAAAAUAAUCUAUUCUAUUUUAAAGGACGAUUAUACAUUUCAGAAGGUGAGGCACAAUUACAUCUUUUUCAAGCUCAUCAUAACUUUCCAACAGUCAAACAUUUUGAAUACAACAAGACUUUGGAACUAACAUUGAAAGUUUUUUGAUGGCCUCAAAUAUAGAAGGUAGUCAAAGAUUGUGUACAAUUAUGUGAUAUUUGUUGAAGAUCCAAAACUAUUUGCUAUCAAAUUUAUAGCUUUCUAAAAGCUUCAUAUAAAUCACAUUAAUUUUACAUGUAUUUGUAGUUAAUUAAUAGACUAAAAACUUGGUCAACAAAUUAACCAUAUAUUAGUAGCUUGCAAAAUAAUCUAACUAUGUGGUGUCUAUAUAGAAAACUUACCUUGCAAAUUAAGAUAUAUUUUUUGUAAAGUCAAAAUGAUUUAGAGGUCUUAUAAAACAUUGCUACAUAACUACUAAUUAAGAGUAUAUAUGGAGGCAAGAGUGAAGCCUUCUUCACUCUUAUCAAUGCCUUUUUAGUUCUUAAUCUUAUUUUAAGACUUUUUAGUUUUUUUUCUUUGAUAAUAGCUAUUUUAAUUUAAUACUAUAUUAUCUUCAAGUAAUUUUUUAGUCCUUUUGAGUAACCUAAGAGUGUAUUGAAGAUUUCUUUCUUUAAGAUUAAUGUCCUUAAUAAUGACACUUACACAAAUCUAUUAUUAGCCACCAUGACCAUCUUUAUUGUGAUACCAAAUUUUUUUUCAAUCAUUGUUUGCUUACCAUCAAUAUUAAUUUUAACUAGUUGUGUUGUCUAUUUUAGAGCAAUGGCAUUCAAAAGUUUCACCCUGAAAUAAAGAUUACUUCAACUAUUUUGCAAUCAAAAAGCAAAAUGGCAAGAAGAUAGAGAUUGUAUAACUUUGAUUGAUGCUCAAAUUAAACUCAAAAAAUAAGAUAAGAAUUACCUUGCUUUGAGCUGUUGUCAAGAGCAAGCAAAAAGGCCUAUCGCAUGUAGUAGAGCUAAGUGAUUUUCUAUAAGCUUACAAUACAAACAUUCUUACAAAUAAAGCUGCACAAUUAUAACUACAUUUAUUGAAGCAACUCAUGUGUGACACAAUCUUUGUGAAAUUUACAAGACAUAUUGUCAUUUAGAACAAGACUACAUAUGUGAUUAAGUUAAUGAUAAGAUGAAACAAUUAUGAAAAAUUGAUCUUUAAAUUAUAUGCUUUGUAAUUUAGAUCUUGCUUUGCAUUAAAUUUAAUUUAGUCAUUGUUUGCAUCUUUAAACAACUUAAAAAUUAAUAAUGCCCAUUCAUAAGUCAACAUAGAUUCUUUAUUAUUUAUAUUAAAUAAUAUAUCAUUAAUAACCACGUCUAUAAUAUUAAAAUUUAUUGUGAACAUAAAUACCUUCUUGGUCUCUAAAUGAAUUGUAAGGGUGUUUUUAAAAUUUACUUGAUCAAACAACUACUUCUUCGAGAUAUCUGAGAGGACAUUGUAUUCUAUCUAUGCUUUGGCAUCUUGAUAUUUUUAUAUGUGCCAUAAUAUUGUCUACAAAGAAAAGAAUUGAAAAUAUUUUCACAUUUAUUGUCUACUUCUGCUUAAGUCCUAUGAAAUUGACCUCUUCACAGUUGAGCUUUUCACAUAAUAAGGAUCAUGUUGUCAUAUUAUAAUUAUUUAUAGUAUGUAAAAAUUUAUUAAAAUAGAUAAUAUAUUUAUAAAUAUUGAUAUACUUUAGAAUAGUUAAUAAGUUAAUUUAAAGAGAGUUGAUGUAAGAAAAUUUAUUUUGAAGUUUACUUAUAUUGAUUAUAGUAUUAAAAUUAUAUAGGAUUUAGAUAUUUAGUAUAAAACUUAAAGAAAAGAUUGGAGGUCAAAGAUAAAGAUCCAGACCUCUAAAAAACUUAUUUAGAGGGAUGAAAUCAAGGUAUGGAUGGAUGAAGAUAAAAGAUAAAAAUCUUCAUCCAUAUCGGUGGAAGGCCAUGUCCAAUAGGUAUUCAAUAAGCUAUCUACCACUAUAAGACGGAUUUUGAAAACUUUAGAAGGAACAUUUGAGAAUCAAAAAUAAGAGUUGUAAGGUUUAGGAUAUGAGCUACAAUUCGUAUACAAAUUUUAUAGGAUUUGGAAUUAGGGUGAUGAAGUUAUAGUUGUUUGAAGUUAAGAUAUUUUUUUAAGAUAUAUUGUUGUUCUUUUGAAGAUACAAGGAAUUUUAUGAUAGAUUUUGGAGAUUGAGAGGUGCAAAUGCAAGAGUGAUUUUAAGAUCUACAUCUAUUAUGAAAUUUUUCUUACAUUUAGAAUUUGUAUGAAGAAGUUAUAGAGCGUUGAAGACAACACAUGUAACUCAGAGGCAGUAAGUGAGUCAUUUUAUUGAUAGUAAUGGUCAGAGCUAUAUCUUCAGUUUUCAAAUAAAUUUUUAGCUCAAAAUUUUCAAAAAUAUGUGUUAUUAGGUUAAGAAGCUAUAUAUCAAAGUUUUAUGAUAUUUGAGUACUUAAUUUGUGAGAUAUGAAGAAAAUUACUCACAAGUAUAUGUAAGCAAGGAUUUGAAGUUAUUAUUAGAAUUUUGGCAAUAUCUCAAGAUCUGUAAGAAAUUUGCAAUUGAAAUUUGUUGUGGUAGUUGUUAAAAAUACAUCAGUACUUCAUGUAAAAUUUUGAUAUGUCUAGAUGGUCCAAUUGUAAGAUAUGAGCUGUUGAAAUUUGGAAAAAAUUCACCUUAAAGAUGUAUAAGGUUUUAUAAUAUUUUUAUCACAUUUUUGUUGACCUUUGGUACAUAGAACUUAUGUAUUGAUAUAAUUGCUUCUAUAGGGAUAACUUUAUAUAUAGACUUGGUAUUUUUUUUAAUCUAGAGGCUUGGUUAAAGAAUUAGUGACAACUAAAAGUCCAAUGCUUUUUUAAGACAAAUUCUCUACUAUGACAAUGUUGGUAGAACUUGGUCAAUGUUUUCACAUCAUGGAUUUGGCACAAGGCCAAAUUUCGUCUCCAUAGAUGAUUUAUAAAGGAUCUCCAAUUCCUUUUCCAUGGCAAAUUUAAUAUGCAUAUCGUGAUGUGACUGCUAUAAUUGUAAAUUGAUAUUCUUUUGCAUGGAUUACAUCAUGCAGUGCCUCCUCCAAUCAUGUGUAAGAAUACUGUUGGGGCCUUAUUUUAGAGCAUGUUGCUAAGCUUAUUCUAAGGAAAACAGGGUUUUUAUGGAAAAAGCCCUAAUUUGAAGAGGCCUGCUCAUGGAUGAUAGUGUCAAUAAAGCUGAUAAUGGACCAACAUUUCAGUGUUUUGCAAGGCUUUUCAGGAUACAUGUGAGCUCUCUCAACUUUUAGAUACAUCGAUGAGUGGGACCAUGAGUAAUGAUGAGGUCCACCUAUAUGUGCAUUAAACUCAACACUUGGUAGAUUUUGCUGACGACAAAUAAGGCAGAUGCUCUUCAAUCGCGUUCAACCCCUAGAAGUCAUGAAUUAAGCCUGUCCGUGGUGUGGUCAUGAAUAACAGCACGAGUUUGGCUCACCUUCACAGAUGACUCAAUGGUUGAAGGAAGAAUUGUGUGAACCAGUCGUAACUGUUUACUACGGUGGCGAUUUCCACGCCACCGAAAAACCUAUGUGUUGACACACCCUUGUUCAAGUAUGAGGUGUCCAUGUGACAAAAUAUCUGGAAAGAAGCAACCCCUAGCUAGGUUCCGAUCAACCAGUGGUGAAAGAGAAUCAUCUGGCUAUUCCCUGGACACUGACGUAAUGUGUUUCACAUCAUCUGACUCGGUCUGUACAGUGCUUUCAUCCCGGAUUUAUGUUCAUGGUUGCAUAUCCAUACUCACAAGGCAUUGAUGUCUGAUAUUAAUUUCUUCGAAAGUAUCUUCUCUUUACAAGUUCAUUGUAAAGAUCCCCUAGACCCCAAUACUAUCUUAAGAAGACAAGUGCAAGGUUUUAGUGCUUAUCAAGCAAUCGAGGAGUUCGUUGGUGGGAAUGUUGACCACAAUUGACCGAUCAGAAUCGAACGGCCUCGAUAACACAUGGACAAUGUAGUUGUCAUGCUCUCCACGCUUCAAGCAGCCUUUGUUGGAUGACGCAGCACACAACUUUGCUCAUGAAUUCCCCUAGCGAAGAAGAAGCGUGUGACUGGGGCUAUGUAGCUGACGAUGUGCUGAGUCCUACCUCGAAGUCCGCAGGAGUUGCGCGCUUCUGAAAACCACCCAGAUUUUGCAACAACGUCGAUGAUUGAACAAAACACGAAUGAACAUUUCUCGAAAUAGCUUUCCACCUCCCAAACGGUAGACUCCUCCUCGUCUGUAAAAGUUGCUUUCGACCCAACCCGACAUCCGUGAGGGUGAAUGUAAAAACAAGGGAUGGCAGUGAAACAAUUGCUCGUAAACAACUGCAGGGCCGUCACCAUGUGAAGAAGAGCCCGGGAGCGACGACGACCUGGUGAGUGUGGGCCCAUUUCGAACCCGCUUCUUUUGUUCCCUAGUGGCCCUCGUGGCUCUUCACUCUCUCGCUGCGGCGGCUCCUUUGCUUCUGAGCAGUCCCCCUUGCGUCUGUUUCUCUUUCCUCUCUUCCGGUAGACUGCAAUCUUCCCCUCUAGCUCAUUGUAACUCUCCUCUCUAGUAUUCAUCUUCGGGAGAUCCUGUUCAGCCACCAUGACCGGGGGUGAUGCUAAGCCAGGCAAGGCCAUCCCGCUCUACGGCACCUUCGCUGCUUCCGCAUUCAGCGCUUGCUGGGCUGAGGUGCCGACAUUUCUUCCUCUAGAUUGAUCCGGUUUGAAUUUCUGAAGCUGGUUUGGGUUGCGUUGAUUCGGAUGGAUCGGAUUUGCGCGUGAGGGUGUCUUAGUCGAGCGUACUCUCGUUAUUGUGGGUUUUCUGUGGAUUAAUAACCUUCUGAUUUAUUUUUAUUUUUAUUUUUAUUUGGGGGGGGGGGGGGUGUGAGGCUGUCAUUGCGUUUCGUAGUUUGAUUGUAGAAGAGAAAUUGAAUAUUUGCUAGAGGAUGGAUUUUUCUUCAGAUUUUUUUGUUCAUACAGAGUUGGGGAGUGUGUGUAUUUAUUUCAUUCGCAUUCUCUGAUAUUCCAAACGAUGACCUGAACUUGAAAAUGCAACCAUAAGUUCGUUUGUGAGCAAUGGGUGUAUAGCUUCUUUUUUUGUUUUAUUUUUAUUUAUUAUUUGUGUUUUCCAGUAGUGUGAGAAAUAACAAGGCAGUUGAUGACGGCAGACCUGCACCAUUCCCCUAGAUACGGCCAAGGUGAGAUUGCAGCUGCAGGGGAAAGCGUUAGCUGGUGAGGUCAAUGUCGCACCCAAGUAUAGGGGAAUGUUCGGGACCAUGGCCACCAUAGCAAGGGAAGAAGGGGCUGCCUCCCUCUGGAAGGGUAUUGUUCCCGGGCUUCACCGGCAGUGCCUCUUUGGGGGCCUUCGAAUUGGUCUCUAUGAACCGGUGAACUUUUUCUUCUUUUCAUCCAUGAGCUUACAAUGUGUUCGCUAAAUAGUCUAUUUGCUACCAUCAUGCUGAUCUUUACGCUCAUAGUAUUCAUCUAAGUCUCAUAUUGUUCUAGGUUAAGAGGAUCGCGACAUUUCUUGAAUUUGCGGUCUCUAGGCAUUUGGAAUACAUGUUUUAAGCUUGUCCAUUGACGGCGAUACGGAGAGCAAACGAGGUUUUUUGGUGGCAGGUGUCACGAUGUGCCUAGAAUUUUUAGCUUUUGGGAUAUAUUUGUCUUCAAUGUGCUAAUGUGAAUGUCGCAUGCGAACCUCGGAGAGCAGGUAAAGAACCUGUACUUAGGAAAAGACCACGUAGGAGAUGCUCCACUGUUGAAGAAGAUUGCUGCUGGUCUUACGACAGGUUGUCAUAGUUUUUCUCCUCACGUUAUGCCCUUCAGAAUUGUCAUCUUAAAUGGCAUAUUUUUGCUUUUCUUAAAUAAAUUCAGUUUCAAUAAUAUUCCUAUCUUGCCUCUUUUUCUUUUUGAUCUUUUGAUCACCUUGUGCUUGUUUCUAGAGAGGAGUUUUGAUGCUGUUUUAUGCAUGGGAUGAACUCCAGGUGCGUUGGGCAUUUGUGUGGCGAGUCCCACGGAUCUAGUGAAAGUGCGACUUCAGUCUGAGGGCAAGCUACCUCCCGGUGUCCCCCGCCGCUACAGCGGCGCUAUGAAUGCUUAUUCGACUAUUGUCAAGCAGGUUAAAGCUCCACGGCCAAUUACCAUAAAUAUUUCAAGUUUUUUUCGUUACAGUCACGGUGAUAAAUUGCUCUCGCUUGACGUGGUUGAGCAGGUAACAAGAGACAUUUUUGUGCUACGGUAUUUAAGUCCACUCUGAUUUCAUUUUCUGGUAUUUCAGGAAGGUUUCACAAAAUUGUGGACUGGGCUUGGUCCAAACGUUGCUCGUAACGCUAUCAUCAAUGCUGCCGAACUGGCCAGUUAUGACCAAGUCAAGCAGGUGAGACGUCUUUCCUAUCCCAGUUAUUUUUGAUGAAGUGCUUUGUUGGCUGCCCCUCCUUUUCGGAAAGUUUAAGUUGUUUGCAUAUCCAGGGCAUAUACCUGCAAUUGGCGCUUCCAUUUUAGAUUGUGAUUUCGGAUGUUCGAAAAGCACUUUCAGUUUACUAAUAUGGCAUGUUGCGCUUUGCAGACAUUGUUAAAACUUCCUGGUUUUACGGACAACGUUGUUACUCACAUCCUUUCUGGAUUAGGUGCUGGCUUUAUCGCUGUCUGUGUGGGCUCUCCUGUUGAUGUGGUAAGUGGCUCUCUGCUGUUGUUUGGGCUACACUGAGUGGAAUUAGUUUUCGGAAUUGUCCAGAAGAUGGUACAUUUUAGACUCUUGAUUUCAGAGAAAUUUUACUUGGUUAACAACAUGGCGAAAAUGCCUGGUCUUUUGGUUUGUGUUUUAAGUGUACUAAAAGGGGCCUCAUCCCUUUCAUUACUGAAGUCCGAUGGUGCAUUGUUGUGCAGGUGAAGUCCAGAAUGAUGGGAGGAGGGCAGGGUGCUUACAAAGGCACAAUUGACUGUUUCGUUCAGACUUUUAAGAAUGAUGUCCGUGGCUCUGUAUCUCUACCUCUCUUUUUAGAACUUGGUUGCAUGUCCUCUUAUCGCGACUAAUGUCGCGAUCCUUAUUGAGCAGCUUCAAACGUGCCCUCUAGUUUUAUGUUUAUAUAUAGAUAGAUAGAUAGAUAGAUAAGAAUUACACGGUGUAAAUUUGGUUCGCAGGGUGCUGGAGCUUUUUACAAGGGAUUUUUGCCCAAUUUCGGUCGACUUGGUUCUUGGAACGUCAUUAUGUUUUUGACCUUGGAACAGGUUAGUUACUUUGUGGCAUUUGAAUCUUUCCUGUCGGGGUCUUAAAAACGUUACUGAUAGUAUAAUUUGAUCAUUUUUCUUUGUGAUCAGUAGAUUAACUAAGUGUUUGGAUGUGUUGCAGACCAAGAAGGCUUUCUUCCCUAAGGACGAGUAGAACUGAGUUUCUGUUGUGAAACUGUACUGAGUUUCUUUGAUCAAGUAGGCUUAGAUGUAGCAUUGUUGUGGUGGUAUUUUUAUCAAACUGUCUUUUAGUGUUCAGCAAGGAAAGUGUGGUAAUGAAGCGAUAACUUUUCACGGCUACUUCAAUUUUGUGGCAGAAUUUAAACUUUUGGUUUAGGUGGAAUUCUCCAAUUCUUUGCAAUCUUGCAAAUCAUACAAUAAAAUCAUGAAUCUCUCUAGGUCAUUAUUUUGAAAUUGUCUUCUUUGCCCAACUAAAACUCGCAUGAAUAUAACAUCCAAAUACACAUGAAGUCUGGUUCUGACUUUUGACAAUGAGAUUCGUUUCUGGCGAUUUGAUAUCUAUUGUGUAGUCAGUUGCACCACACCGUUUUUCUGACCUUCAAGUCUGUUGACAGUUCAAAUUUCACUGAGCUCCUAUUUCAACACGAAUAUGAUCACGUCACUGACAGCAAUGGUAAACUCGAGUAUAAUUUGCCUGAAAUUUGAGCUUGCCCCGACGUUGCUCUGGGCACAGGCAUUAUUCAUUCAGACGCAAAAGAUGGUCAUGCUGAGCUCUCAAAGGUAUAAAGUUGUGGUUCUUUUUCAUUGUUUCCAUAAUUUGCUUGAGGAAGAUUGCAUCACAACACAAUGAAUAACUUAGCACCAGGUUGCUUAAACUGCGAUCAGUGCAUUGUAAUUUUGGAGUUGCAAAUGAGUGGAGGGGGCCAAAUGGCAGGCAACUAGUCUCCAUUGUUGGAACUUAUAUCUCUUAUGCACCUUGCUGUUUGAGUAAUUUUGAUUGAGUGUUAAUUUGAGGACUAAAUGGUAUUCCACAAGUACUAGUGAGUCCAAGGGAAUACUUUCCAAAGAUGGGGAUUAGAAGACUUUGUCUACCAUCAAGUCCCUGUUCUGCAUAUUUAUUAGCGAUUCAAAGAAAUACCCAUUUGAUGCAUAAAAAAACAUAAUUGAGCAAUCGAAUGAAGAGUCUACGUGCUUCAGCAGAACGUUGGAGACAACUGGCAUACAACACCAACCAUGGAAGUUCUGACAGGCUGCCUUGGAGCUUCUUCCAUUUUAUAGGGAACCAUUCAACAGUAACAGCAAAACAAAAAAUAUUUAAAACGUAGAGCUCUAGGGCAAAGAACAGGGCACAAGUCAGUAUAAGAAGAAAUUAACUUUUUUAGGUAGCCAACACUAUUUUCUUCAAUAAUGUAUUAUUGUAGGUUUUUGUUACAAACACACAUCAACAUUUACAAUUAAAAGUUUUUAUUUUUAUUUUUAUUAUCAUUGUUUUUAUCUUUUAGAAUAAUGAACAAAUAAUGUAAAUGAAUCAAGUGUUUGAGCAACAUUUGCAAUGUUCUCUUAAUUCUUACUAAGAUAGUUGAACAAUUUUCUUGCUAUUAGAAAAAAUUUCAUAUGAUGGUUUGGUAUACUGCAAAAAAAGUCUUAUUCAUCCUAAUUAUAGUUAUUAUCUUUAGUUUAAUAUUUUUGAAUUUUUAAAAUUAAAAUCUAGUUUUAAAAGAUUCAAUAAGUACAAUAGCAAAGUUUUAUACAAAAAUAAAUAUAUAACUAAAGAAAAUUCAAGAAUAACAAAAUAAAACUAAUAAAAAUAUGUUUAGUAAAGAAAAAAUUGUAAUUAAAGUUGGUGAAAAGAUAGUGUUAUCUUGUUAUAUUAUGAAUAAUAAGCUUGUUAUAACAUCAAUAAUGAUUGGUCUUGUGAUAAGUUGAUAAUUAAAGACUUAUUUUAUUUAUUAUUCAAAAAAAAAUUAAUCUAAUUUCUAUAUUGUUUGCAAUAAUCAUAGUCAAUAAAGAUUUAUCCCAUAUUUUAAGAAUCUUUAUAAAGUCUUAUAUCAUAAUAAAUAUAUUGAAAAUAAAAUAAAAUAUAGCCACAUUAUAUUGGAAUAGAUAACAAUCUAAAUUUCAAAAUAGAAGAAAUUUUAGAUUUAGGACAUGAACAUAAUAUUAGCAAACAUUAACAUAGAUUGAAAUAGAACAUUUGAAACUAUUUUAUAUUGGUAUGAAUAUAAUAUUAGCAAACAUAUACAAGAGCUAUUUGAGAAUCUUAGAAAUACAUCAAAAUUUGUUUUUUUAUUAUCAAAUUCAUUUGUUAAAACCAAUGAUCAACUAAUAAAAAUAAGAUGAUAUAAAACAAAGAUAUUAAAAAAAAAAAAAAAAAAAAAAAAAAAAACUUUAAAAACUUCUAUGCAAGGUGGAGAAAUUACAACUAACAUAAUUAUUUUAAUAAUUGUCAUUUGUAGAAUUUUUAAAUAAAGUGUUUAAAUUAAGAUAACCUUUAUAAAAUUAGAAUUAAAAUAAAAAUUAUUAAAAAAUAUAUCUUAUGUGCUAAAUAGAUAUAAAGAUAUAAUACUUAUAAUACCAUGAUUUUGGCCAAGUUUUUGAUAUUUAGCGAUAGUAUUUGACAUGAAUACUUUACUUAUAGCAUUCAAAAUAUAUUGUUUGAAGAUGGUUAUAAAGUCCUUAAUAAUGAUCAAAUAAUUUUGUGGUCUUAUCUUAAUAUGGAAUAUUAUCAAUAAUCCAAAGAACCUUUUAAUUACUUUUGUAUAAUAUACAAAUUAAAGUUUGUUACAAAAAUAAGAUACACUGAUCUACUAAAUUAAACAUAUUGGAUUGCAUAAUUUUUUUUUUGUUUUGAGAGGUCAUCUAAAUAAACAAAGAAUAGCCACAUGAAGAAUAUGCACAUAUCUUUGAUGCCAUAAUUAGACCAAAAGUUCUCUCAAUUGUUAUGAUUCUUAUUAUAACAUUAGACCUUAAGGCACAUUAUUAGAACAUUGUAACAAAUUUUUUCAAAACACUAAUAAGACGAAAUAAAAUUAUUUAUGUUCAACCUCUACUAAAGUAUGAAGAAUAUAAUAGUGAAGGUAAUAUAUUAAUUUUACUAUUUUUUAAGCUCUCUAUGAUUUGAAGCAAGUACUAAAACUUCGGUAUCUUAAAUUCACCAAUUAUUUUAUAUAGUUGAAUAUCAAUCAUUGAUAUUUGAUCCAUACAAACUUUGAUGUUUUUAUAGCAAGCUAUUUAUUUUGUAGAUUAAUAAUAUUCUUCAUAUUUUUUCUACCUUAUUUGGAAUACAAAAAAUAAAUGAGAUAAUAAAAACUAAGUAUCAUCAUAAAGACAUAAAAGAAAUUUAAGAAUAUCUAAGUAUCAAGGUUAUCAAUUGUUUUUGAAAAUAAACACGUAAUCUGAUUUAAGAUGAUUAUAUUUCAAAAAAUUAUAUUAAUUUUGCAUAAAAAGAUUAAAUUCUAGUCUCAACAUCAACUAUAGAUACAACUCUUUUUGAACCAUUUAGCAUAUAGUAGAUCUAAACUUUGACAAUAUUAUUAAGUUCAAUUUAGCUCUCUUAUGUAUUUGAUUAUUUAAACAAGACCAAAUUUUAUAGAUUUAUAUACAUAAUUAGAACAAUUUGCUCAUGAUCCAUGUAAAUGUCAUAAUAUCAACAUAAAAUAAGUCUUUUUUAGUUUAUAAUCUAUUAUGAGUCUUGGCAUAUAAUAUAUACAAAUUGGCCUCUCAUCAUUGGACAUUAAAACAUUCAUCUUAGUUCUAUUGGAUUUAUUGAUGUUUUAUACUCUAAUGAUGUUAUUAAUUAAAAAUUGACUAGUAUGUAUCUAUUCAAGUUUGAGGGUGGAUCAGUUAUUUUAAAAUCUUAAAAAUAGAUAGUAAUGUCACAUGUAAAAGCUAAAUAUAUUAGAUAUUCAAUUGCCACCAAAGAUGUUGACUUCAACUCCUCUUUCAAGGAUUGAAUUACACAAGAACAAACAUCCAAAGGAUUACUUUAUAUGGUAAAAAUUAACUUGCAAUUCUCUUUAUCAUCAAUCUAAAGCAUCAUUUUUAAACAAAAUAUAUAGUUAUUUUCUUACAAUAUAUCUAUAAAUAGGUUAAAUUUGCCAUAUUCAAUUUAAGUAUGUUUCAACCAACAACAUACCUACAAAUAGAUUCACCAAGCUAUUCAUUGGGAUCAAAUUCUAAUAAUUUGUAAAAAUAUUGGACCUAGUCUUCCAUAAUAGUUUUUAAUUAUAAAUUAUCACAAUAUGGAAGACUAAAAGGCAUAUACACACUAUAAACUAGGUACUUAUGUCUUAGAGGCACUUUGCAAACAAUGUGAUAAAUAAUAAUUAUGAAUAUUAGUAUAACUUGAGAGAUCUAUUGAGAAUAUAGAAGUCUUCUUGUAUUAUAGUAGUAAUAUCUAAAAGACAAUAAUAAAUUAGAAUAGCUUGCCAUACUCUCUUUUGAUUGGAGAUUUGUCUUCACAAUGACAAAAAAAACAAUACUUCAAAGUUUAACUAGAUAAAAGUAAUCUCAUAAUCUUUCUAUGAACAUGUACAUCUUCUUUUAUGUCUAAUUAGAGUGAAAAAAAUAUCUAUUCAUGCUAUCCUUCUAUUUUCAAAUGCAUGUAUACAUGAAUAAGUGUAGAGUUUUCUUUUUGUGUGGAUGUUUUGAUGUUUAUAAAACUACUCUGCUUUAGAUAAUCAUUAUGUUUUCAUGGUAACUUUCAAAUUAAAUGACCAGAAGUAAUGUCCAUAGUUGAAGAAUAUAAAUUUUUUCUUACUAUUUAAUUCAUUCAUUUUACAUCUAGUAAAAUUUAUUGAAAUCACAGUAUGAAUUCUUUUACAAAAUUAGCAAAGAAAUAGGCGACAAGAUAUGAUUUUCAAAUUCCAUCUCCCCAAAAACUUUAACAACAUUCCACAAAGUAUAUACAAAGACAGUUUCGUCGCAUUGACAUCAUCAAGGCAGACAACCACGAAUUCUGUGAAGAUCUCCGUGAGUAUCACAAAGCUCACCACAACCCCGUUUAUGUUUUCACUUCCCUGUGGCACCUCUAAGGUUCCGAACCCUCGUCGAUGCUGCGCCAACACACAAAGUCUUCGUAGCAAAGUAAAUACCGGCAACUCAAAUUCCUUUUUAAUUUUGGAUGAGGUAUCACGGAAACCCGACAAUUCCUUCCUUGAUCAGCCCAUCCGGUGAGUACCAUCUCAUGACCGACUGCAAUUUCCCUGCAUACAAGUACACAAUUCCCUCUCUUAGGUUCGGAGAUGACCAUGGAUUCCGAAGCCGAACUCGCGGUCCAGAUGGGUGGGUUGAUCUCUGACUUCGGCACUGCAAUACCACUGGAUGAUGCUGCUCGUGAGAGUUGUUGCAGUGAGAGGAGAGGAGAUCCUGAGAGUUUAUUCUUGAGGGUGCGCUGGCAAGUUGGUUGGAGGAGGUUGGUUAUGCAAGAGAGUCCGUUGGCAAGUGAUCUCUCCGUUCCUCAUCCUGCAACUCAUCAUCUUGCGCUGGACCCACUUCCCCAGCCUUGCAAAAAUGAUGUUUUUAUUUUUCUCCGGGCUGCUUGUGUGGCUCUGGAUCGGCGUUGCUUCUCAAACCCAAUUUCCACGUCGUGUCUGAAAAGAAUACUCCUGGGUGCGAUGCGCUUUUGCGACUAGCCAUUCGGAGCCAAUCGGGAAGUAGUAAAAUAAUAAUGAGAGAGGAUGGGUCUGACGACAAACCCGAAUGGAAGAGUUGGACGACAGUCGUGGGACUAGCUACGGCGAUGCUGAAACAAGAGCUUUUGGCUCUGCCUGGCCGUGAAGGAUUCUGGCUUGGCUUGCUCGUGUGACACGCGGCCAUCGCGACAACUCCCCUGUAGAUCCUCAUCCAACGCCUCCAUAAUUAUUCGGUCGUUUUUUUUUCCAUUCCAUGCUAGGCAGAUAUACAUAGCUUCGGGAAACAUGCAGAAGAGGCGUUGUGAUUGUUCUCGAGAUAUUUUUAGGAGAGUCCUCUGAAGUGGUCUUCCUCGCGAUUAUCUGGAGACUGUUGCACGGUUUGGAACAGAGUAGUUGUGUAGGGGAGGUGGUGCGAGCAUCGCCAUUGCCAGCUGCAGCUUCAAGCGUGGGUAUGUUGUAUGACCGCAUCGCGAAGUGGGUUUUGUAGCUGAUACGGAUGAACCGAAUUGGAGGCAAGAGUGAGAGUGUGUUCAGGAUUUAGGGGGUUGCCGAGUGAAGAAAUCGUCCUCCUAGAACUCCACCAUCAUGCUCACCGUUCCGGCUUGCCAUGGCCGCUCCACUUACCCUUCUCUGCAUCCUGCCAGUCAGGUGGGUUCUCCUUCUCUUGUCCCGCAUUCGUCCCAUUGUUCUAGAAUCGCUGUGCAUCGGGAUCUCUUUUUGUGCGUAUAGGAUUUUGCGGCUUGUGUUGGUGUCGUUGCAAUGCUGGCGGGGUGGGGUGGAAUGUGACGAUGUGGCUGGUAUUGUGACAGGGGGGAGGGGGAGGGGUAUUGAUAGUUUAGGAGGUUUCUAUUUGAGUUUUCGAUGCUUCUGGAUGCGUGGGUUUUUGAAGGAUGAGUAUGCGAGGCGAUUGUGGUUCAAUUUAGAGCAGAAUUACAAUCGAGGGUGAUUGAAUGACUGUGUAGGUUCUUUCUUCUCGCCCUUUUGUUUGUCCAAGCAAAGGUUGGUGACGUUAGCAUCGUAGCUACCGUGUCCGAAUGCUAUGCGUUUUUGCAUCGGAGCUUGCGAGGACGUGCUUUGUGCAUCAGAAUGGAGGGUUGACAGAAUCUGUGUCUGUAUGGCUGAACAUCAUCAAGAAGGGAACGCGGGUUUCCAGUGGUCAUUGUCUGCUUCUUUUACGACUUCGUUUGAGUCGUUUGGGUAAGUUCGCAGAUAAGAUUGCGUUUUUGACAGUAAUUUUAGGUGCUCGGUGUUUCCAUGCAAUGCAGAUUGAAGGCGGGAGCUUGGCGUCCUUGGAUGUUUUAGGGUUGCAGCGAUUCCCUUUGAAAAGGUCCAUGUCGGGAAUCGGAGUAAGUUUCUACCGUGAUCGAUGCAUUGGAUCGCGAGUCUGCCUUUUGAAUUAGUCAUUUUUUGCCGUUUUGUGAAUUCGGAAUAAUAUCCACAGAUAGCAUUACCAUUAUAAAUAAUAGAUUGACAUUGCAAUUGUGGAGGAUGGUUAGUGAAACGGAUGAUCUUGUUGACGUAGUAUCCUGGCUGAAACUUUGGCUUGUUCUCAUAUCAUGCGCAAACGACUGUUGCUCGGAUGAAGAGCCUUAGCUUGUAAUUAGCUUGAAUGUUAUGCUCUGCCUGGAAGGCUUCAUGUUCCGGUCAGAUGAUUCCCCUUUCUUUUUUGUACGCCUUUUUCUUCUCAUGCUUUUUUAUUUCAUGACGUGCAGCUCACGCGAAGCUUAGACUUCAAGGCUGGCUCACCUCUUGUAGUGAAGGCAACAGGUAUAAAGACACAGAAGACAGACAGGGCAGAUAACCCAGCUGGAUGGGAGGACAUGAGUGGAAUGAAAAAGUUAGGAGUGAUGGAGGUGGAUCCCAUGCUCACCGCCCAUCAGGACCAUUUGCAAUAUCGUUUUCGCGAGUAUAUGAAACGAAAGACGGAAAUUGAGAAGGUAGAGGGAAGUUUGGAGAAUUUCGCUAAGGGUGAGCAUUUCUCUUCGUCGCAGGUUUAUCAGGUUGUGAGGUUUAGUCACGAUGAAGUUACUUGCUAAGAUUCAUGGCGCUCAGCAUCAUGUGUAUGCUAGCACUUAAUGAGUGUCGAUUUAAAAUUCUCCAAAGCUACAGCAGAAUGAAUAGAAGGCGCUGCACAAUGGAAUCGAACAAAUCUCGGAUUGGGUGUUUAGAGGAUGUUGUGUUGUAUGUAGGUUUCGAGAAUUUUGGGUUUACCCGUGACGGAAGCUGCACUGUGUAUCGAGAAUGGGCUCCUGCAGCAGCGUGAGUUUUUCUUUCGUCACAAUUCAUCUUAUCUGUAGAAAAUUAGGUCACUACAAUUAGAUAGUCUAAACCACCUCACAACUACUACAGACGAUAACUCAGAGUGCUUUUUCUUUACUUUCCUCGGUAAUACUCUUCCUGUGGACGUCAAUAACCAAGUAAUUGGCUGGACCAGAUCGCCGUCAUUUUCAUAUCAAAUGACAGUUUUAUGGAUAUCGCAUUGUUAUCAAUGGUCAGAGGAAGACUUCUGUAUUGUUGUAUAUAGAGUAAUUAAAGCCUCAUCUAGUCUUGUCUGAAGCGCUUUCCAGCCUUGAAUUCUGAAGAGAAUAUUGUUUUCGACAGGGCUGCUCAAUUGAUUGGUGACUUCAAUAACUGGGAUGGAAGUAAUCACAAUCUGCAAAGAGACGAGUUUGGUGUCUGGUCCAUUAGGCUACCUGACGAGGAUGGUGUUUCUGCUGUUCCUCAUGGUUCCAAAGUGAAGUUUAGGAUGCAGAAGGUUGAUGGUACCUGGGUAGAUCGUAUUCCAGCUUGGAUUAAGUAUGCUGUGGUUGACCCUAAUGUAUUUGCUGCGUAUUAUGAUGGUGUUCACUGGGACCCACCUGCGGCCGAAAAGUAAGUUUAUCCUCCGUGAAGCCUUCAUGCCUACUUUUUCGCUGAUGCACGCGGAGUGUAGAAUUCUUGCUGGGCUUUUGGCGGGCGUUUGCUGUAUGUGUUGUACAUGGGGGCAAAGUUUUUUAUCAUUUCUGCUUCAUGUAGGAUCUUUCACUGUUCAUGAAGUCUGUUGACCCAUUGAUCUUGUGCUGUGAUUCAGGUAUCAGUUCAAGCAUGCGCGCCCAGAAAAACCAGUAGCUCCAAUUAUCUACGAAGCUCAUGUGGGAAUGAGCUCGAAGGAACCAGUCGUGACGUCUUACAGGAAAUUUGCGGACGAGGUUCUUCCUAGAAUUAAGGCGAACAACUAUAAUACUAUACAGCUCAUGGCAAUCAUGGAGCAUGCGUACUAUGGCUGCUUUGGUUAUCAUGUCACAAAUUUCUUUGCUGCUAGUAGCCGCAGUGGUACUCCCGAGGAUCUAAAGUAUCUAAUAGAUAAGGCGCACUCCAUGGGACUUCGGGUUUUGAUGGAUGUGGUACACAGUCACGCUAGCACAAACGCCGUUGAUGGGUUGGCUGGGUAUAAUCUGGAUCAGACUUCUCAGGAUUCCUACUUCCACUCAGGUGCCCGAGGAUAUCAUAAACUUUGGGAUAGCCGCCUAUUCAACUACGGUUCUUGGGAAGUGCAGCGGUUUCUUCUUUCGAAUUUGAGGUGGUGGAUGGAGGAGUAUAUGUUCGAUGGCUUCCGUUUUGAUGGAGUCACUUCCAUGCUUUACCACCAUCACGGACUGAACAUGUGUUUCACUGGAAACUACCACGAAUAUUUCAGUGAAGCCACGGAUGUCGAUGCAGUGGUUUAUUUGAUGCUUGCAAAUGAGCUCGUUCACAAUUUAUUACGUGAUGCUACAGUGAUUGCGGAAGAUGUGUCUGGCAUGCCUACUCUCUGCCGGCCCGUGGAAGAGGGAGGCAUCGGGUUUGAUUAUCGUCUAGCCAUGGCUGUACCGGACAAAUGGAUCGAGUACCUGAAAGACAGGAAGGAUGAGAACUGGUCUAUGGGUGAUAUUGUUCACACUCUUACUAAUCGUAGAUAUACUGAGCCAUGUGUUGGUUAUGCUGAGAGCCAUGAUCAGGUAAUCAUCCUCAUUAUAUAUGUGUUCCAUUUGUCUAUUAGUGCUCGUAGCAUUCCUCUGAAUGGCUUAGAACUGUUUCAUGUGGUGCUGAAACUGUCAAAUAAUUUUAUGUCGAGUUCUUUUGUUUUAAUCAAGUGACAUGGAUGUUCUCCCACUUGAAAGAGACUUAUUAGCAUAAUCAAUGUUCACUAACGCUGUAAACUCACAUGAGUAGUUUCCUUUAUGGGAUUUUCUCAACCGCAAUCGGAGUCUGUUUCGGUAGACAGGCUUGAAAUUUUAAUACAUCUUUUAUGAGUAAAGGUUUCCUACAUUCUAAUGUGCUUUGUUUCCCUGCAGUCUAUGGUUGGAGAUAAGACGUUUUCAUUUUUAUUGAUGGACAAGGAAAUGUAUUUUAAUAUGUCAACUCAGCAACCUGCGAAUCUCAUUGUGGAUCGAGGAAUUGCACUACACAAGGUCGAACCAUCGUAUCUCAAGUUAUCUACCCGUGUUUCUUUACUGCGUGUUUGUUUAUUUUUGGGACAUUGAAUAUGGGUAUGACUUGCUAAAUUUAUCAAUGCAGAUGAUUCACUUUAUUACAAUGGCUCUCGGCGGGGAAGGUUACUUGAAUUUCAUGGGCAACGAGGUAAAUAUUUUGAUACGAAUUUCAGUACGAGGCACUCUAGUUGUCCUUUUUCCAGGGUCUAGGAUGUCACAUUUGAUAUACCUCCUUUCGUUUUAUAGGAAUGCUAUUGCAGCAGAUGACACAAUGCAGUUUAUUACUUUCUGUUCACCGCAGUCUCAAAGUGAAACGCACUUCAUGAUAUAAAUCUUCGCAUGGAUGAAAGAUAUAAAUGAGUGGGAUGUUUACGAGCUUUUCCACUACAUUAAGCCGCUGCAAGUAGAGAUACGCUGUUCCUUUUGAAGAUCAUGCACACGCUCUUUUUCCUGAAUGCCUCGUGUCACACAUUCCUUCGAGUUUAUUUUAAGGAUGGUUCACUUAAUGUAUACUCUUGUCCUUAAUAUGAACCUGUUGCGAACUGCAGUUUGGUCACCCAGAAUGGAUCGACUUUCCUAGAGAUGGUAACAAUUGGUCAUUUGACAAGUGCCGACGACGGUGGGACCUCUUGGACAAUGAGCAACUUCGCUACAAGGUUAAUCUUUUCACAUGAUCUCAUUGUGAGAGUUUGUUGCUGCCAUGGUGUGUGUCAGUGAUGUGUGCACAUGCUGUUGAUACACUAGUCCGUGAAGCGUGCGGAGUUCUUGAGUACCGACGGCGGUGUGACCUGUAACUCGCGAAAAACUUAUUCGUUUUACCUCGAUUUGGUCUUCCAUUACUUGCUGACGUUGCUUCUAUUUAGGAAAGGAGUAAUCUAGACAUGAACUUAAAUGACUGAAGAUAAGGAUGUAGGAUUUACUCGAAUUCAUCAGCUUUUACAUAUCCUCAGGCUUGUGGCAGAAAAUUUGGCACUGAGAUAUCAAGUUGAAAUUGAUCUUUGAUGACAGUUCAUGAAUAAUUUCAACCGAGCAAUGAUUGCGCUUGAAGAAGAGUUCCAAUUUGUGAGCUCCUCAAAGCAGUAUAUCUCCUGUGCAGAUGAAUCACAGAAGGUCCGUAAAAGCCUCUUUGCUCAUUUAGCACUUUUCAAGGGUGAUAUCAAGCUUUGCCAUCAGGCAUUUCCUCGUGAAUGUGGUUUAGCGACAUUGUUGCAUCGCAUCAUUGUUACCACGAUGUGUUCCUGAAAAUGCUUUAAUUGGUCUCUACUGCAAUUUAAUCUUUAUUUUAUACAUGAUGUGUGAUGGGUUUAUUCACAGCUUAUUGUGUUUGAAAAAGGAGACCUGGUCGUCGUCUUUAACUUCCAUCCAACAAACACGUAUUCGGGGUUAGUGUUCUUCUCGCUGAGCUUCUAAAAACAAUUUGAAUAUGUCCUGCAGUGUGAUAUCUGUACCUUGGUGCCAUCUCUUUUCUCCGUCGCUCGAUCUUGAUAUUUCGAAGACUAUUUCCUCUGAAAAUCUAAACUUAAUUAUGUUUAGUGUUUUGCGUAGUGAUCUGGUAAAGUUUAGAUAAGUGGUUGGUAUUGGUUUUUGUAUGCGAUGGAGGAACGAUUUUCAUUUGUAAUCAUGCAUGCAUAUUGGAGAUGUGUUGAAUGGCAGGUUGAAGGUGGGCUGUGAUGUUCCUGGGAAAUAUCGGAUCUGUCUAGACAGCGAUGCGGCGGAAUUCGGAGGCCAUUCUCGGGUAUGGGUUGGUUUCCUUCAAUUGUGUCGUAUUUAGAUUGGUCCUUUUUCUAUCUGUUGCUAUCAUGUGCGGAUUUGAUGUGGAAAAACUCAAGUUUCACGUAUACCAUGACAUUCGAUCAUUAUCAUUGGCUCAAACGCAGAUUUUCCCGCUGUCAGAUUGCGUAAUGAGUGGUUACUGAUAAUGUAUUUCGACGUACAACUUUGUGUUUACUCUUGAAAAUCCGACAGUUGACGUGUGUUCUUUAAAGGUUUACAAAACAACCAUCCAAGUGUUCUAGAGUUAACAUGUCUUCGCAUAUCUUUUAGCUGUGCAGAGCUCUCUUCUGCGUCUGUUUACCGAUUCGACGACACAUAUCAUAGUAUUGUUAAGCAAUUCCUGACGCCAAAUUUCUCUUUUUCCUUUCUCCCUUCUCUAGGUUGACCAUAAAGUUGAUCACUUCACCAGUCCCGAGGGAGAGCCAGGAAAGCCAGAGACUAACUACAACAACAGACCGCACUCCUUCAUGAUUAUGGCUCCUAGCCGCAGUUGCCAGGUGGGUAAUGUUCCCUUGAUCUGAUUUCUACUGUUUGUCCCCCAGAUUCUUGUAAAGCUUACAGUAUUUCAAUGUUCGGAAUGCAGGCGUACUGCAGGGUACCAGAGUAAAACGGAGAUUGUCAUUUGAUCAAUAAGGUAUAAUUUCUUGCUGUGCAACAAACUUUUCAUGUGUACUGAAAGAGUAUUGAGGAAGUGCGCAUGCUUUUUUAACUCAAUAGUUUCUAAUCUGCCGUUACCUUCUCUAAUUAGGGUUUAUUAGUUUAUUAAUCAGAGUUAGAAUUACGUUUGACCCGCUUCCAUCUCAAAGUGGAGAACCCUAGUCAUGGUAAACUUAAUAUUCCUACAUUUUAUUUCCCAGUUUUGAGUUGGGCCUGUUCUAAUUUUAUUAUGUUCAAGGUUUUGCAGCAAUGGAUCUGUAUACAAUUGAUCUGUGCCUAGGUUAGUAAACAAGAGUGUUAAUUCGGUAUAGCGUGCUAGUUCAGCCUGUAGGCACAAACUGUUUGCAUCUUACGUUUAGGCUUCGAGGUUCACUUAACUCUCCUUGGUAAGUGAAUCCAGCUUGUGCAGUCUCCAAUUACCAUGCUAAUCUAAGUUACUCUAUAGAUCCACAUUGGAGUUGCAAAUUUAGUGUAUUAUGGAGCAUACUAUAAUUUCCAGUAAGUUAUUUGAGCGUGUACUUGGUUUGACAACUCGCGGAUUUGUACAUAGAAUAAUCUUUUUUUAAUAUAAAAUGACGAUCUUGAUAUAGUGCCAUUUUUUGGCACAGUUCUGGUGCACAUCAUUGCAAUUUUAAUUGAUAAAACUAAUUAGUAAGUUGGUGUUUGGAAGGUGAAAAUAUGUUCCUGAAAACAAAUAUAUAUAUUUUUCUGUUACAGUAGACAUCAAAAGAACCAAAAUAACUAGACCAAGGAUGAACUGAAGAUAUACAUAAUAAGAAUCAUGAAACAAAAACUAAAAUUGAACGUGCAAUAUAUAUAUAUAUAUAUAUAUAUACAUAUACACUAGUGGAACUUAUACAGUUGACCAUAAAAAAGGUGUGCAUGUAUAAUUUGUGGUCAAAUUAUACAUUCACACCUUUUCCUUAAGAAAUGGUUGACCAAGAAAAUAUGUAUACAAAUAUAUAUAAAUAUAUAUAUAUAUGCUUAACAAUACAAUCCAAAGAUAGAAUCUUUCCUUUCAUUUAAUUUCAUUCACAUUUGCAUUCACAUUCAUAGUCUUUGCAUUCACAUUCAUAGUCUUUGGAUUCCAUUGCUUCAAUGUGGACCAUGUAGUUUUUAGUGCAUUUUUCUCCAUUAGCUUCUUUGUCUUUACAGCUUCUCUAUCAAAAAUCAUGAUUGUCACAUCCAUUAUGCAUGUAAGUAUUUAUAGGUGCCCUAGACUUGAUCAAGUCGUUACAUAAAAUGACAUAAGUUCAUCAUAAAAAGUACAUAGGUUUUUAUAAGCACCAUGUUAAAAAGUAUAAGAUGUGCAUUCAAAAAAGCAUGGAACUCCUUGCUAUGGUAGAUCUUUAUUUGCCUUGAACUUGCUCCUUACAUACAAUAGUCCAACCAUCUCUCAAACAUCCCUCUUCCUUGUUGAAGUUCACUCAAAUUACAUGUUAUUUUCAAAAAUGACCUAGUCAACUUUGCCUUCAUAUAACUCUCAGCUCUUUCAUGUUCUUCUUAUAAGAAUUACAAGGUAGUUGCAUACCUCAUCAAUCACUUAUCAAAUCUCAUGACUAGGUAAGUAAUAUUCAAACUGUAGUGCAAUUUUUACUCAAACUAACAUUCUAUCCUUAGACUCUUUCUCAUAGACCUUGUUGCAUCAAAGCACAUAUCUCUCAAUUUAAAAGACCUAUAUAUCUGAGAUUUCAUCACAAUUUAGAUAAGGCAUUUCAAAAGCUAUUCUCUAAAAUUCAUCUCAAUAGCUGUAAUACUUGCCAAGAACUAAGCUUACAAAUUCGGAUCACUUAGCUACCUUAGUUUCUAGACCCCCUUUACUUCAAUGCUCCAUCACUUCUUUUUUAGCACAAAUGAGAUCCUUAAAUUUUGUAUACUAGUGAUAUGCCUCACCUAAAACACCUCAAUAAAAUAUGGUACUAAGAUAUUAUUCCAAUCAUGCAUAAUAGACCAAAACCAAGAUCCAAAUUCUCUCCCUUUAUUAACCAAAACAAAAGAUAUUUCAAUAAUCACAACCAUCACUUUGUAUCUCUCUUCACUUCCUUAAAUCACCUUGAUACCUCUAAAAUAUCACCAAGAAGACUUCAAGAUGAAAAUCCACCAUAUGUAGUCUAUCUUAUCUUUAUCUUAAUUCUAAAAAUUAUCACGAAGAGGACUCCAACAUAAGAAUCUAUAAUAUGUGGUUUACCUUAUCUUUAUCAUAAUCCUCAAAAAUAUCACCAAGAUCUCUCUAAGAUGAAAAUCCACCACAUGUGGUCUAUCCUAUCAUUAUUCUUAUCUUCUAAUCUUCUUAGUUAUUAAUCUAAUUGCUAGUUCUUUACUAACAAUUAAGUACAUGAAUUAAAACAACAUCCUACUAAGAAUAAUCUAAUUGUAUACUUAAAAUAGGCAGAAAAUACACAUGAAUGCCUAUCAGUUAAUUAUUAAACAGCCCACAUUACGACAAUGGGUUCAUCAAUUUGUUAUUUGUCAUGGAUCAAAAAAUCACUUCAAGUUAUAUCCAUAUAACUUUCAAAAAUCAGAAAUAAAAAAUUACUCCAAAUUAUCUAUUUGUAACUCUCAAAAAUCAAAAAUCACUCUCAAAAAUCACUUUUAGUUAUUUCUAUAUAAAUCUUAAAAAUAACUCAAUGUUCCAAAUGGUCUCGGAGUUGCAACUUUCACUUGUCAAAAAAUCUCUCCAAAUUUACUUCAAUGCUCUAAAUGUUCUUAAAAUUGAGCCAAUCAAAGAUGGUUUUUGUCUUCUCUUGUUUGUCCUUUGGAUCUAUUUUAUAUGAUAAAUAUUAAGAUGAUUGUGUUCUUUGCUUUGUAAAUUGGAAUAUUCUAAUGCUUAUUUUUACACUUUUGAUUAAUUUUUUUUAAAGUUUAAGAUUAAAAAAAUUAUUCAAAAAUAUCAAGAUAUUUUAAUUGGCUCAAAAGAUAUUUUAAAAUUCCAACUAUUAUAACAUAAGAGUUUGAAAAAAAUUAUAAAAUUAUAAAUAUAUAUAUAUAUAUAUAUUAUUGAUUUAUAUUAUUGAUUUAUAAAAAUCAAAAGUUAAAAAAAUACAAAAAAAUACUAGUUUGAGAAACAAAACUUAAAAUAUAAAAAUAUAAGAAUAAAAGGCCAAUUAGUUUUUUCAAUAAUAUUCUUACAUUAUAUUUAAAAAUAGCUUUUGGUUAUAUAAUAAUCUAAAAUUGUAUCUAAAUCAAUCUACAUUAUAUUUUUCAUAUCUUUUUUAAUCAAUUAAAAUUACUCAUCAAUUAAAAAUACUCAAUAGAUAUUUUGAUUCUAUGUAGGUACUUUAUUAUGAUUUAAAACUCAAUACAAACUAAAAUAUAUAAAUUCAUAAAAAUUAUUUUUAGGUAUUUAUUCUUAAUCUCCUAAUUUUUAUAUUCUAAAAAUAAUUUUAAAUUUUAACUUUAUCAUAGUGCUUUUACAAACCAAUUUAUUAAAAAUAAAUUUCUAGAGUAUUAAACAAUUUCUGUUAUAUUAACAUACAAGUUUUGUGAUUAUUAUUUAUAAAUAUCUUUGGUCGUAUUAGAAAUAAUUUAAAAUAUUUUGUAGAUAAGAUUAUUACAACUAUCAUGUAUCAUUAAAUAUUUAAAACAUCCUUUCAUACUAUAAAAUUUAAUUAUAUAAUAGCAUUUUAUUAACAAUGAUGUUUGUUAAUUACAUUCGAAGUACUCCUAUGUACAUUGUUAUGGCUUUAAAUCAUGUUUUUAUUGCAUAAUUUAUCAUUUUUUUAUAAAUCAAUAAUUAAUAUUAAUUUAUUAUUAAUUUAUUAUUAAUAAUAAAAAAACCUCAAUUAUAUAGAUAUUUUAUAAAUUAUUAUAUAUAUAUAUAGAUUUUUUUAUACAUCAAAUAAUAAAUCAAAGAUAACUUUUUGUUAUUUAGUUUAAUUUCUUUUUUCUCUUUAAAAAUGUAGAUUCAUGACUUUGAUAUUUUUAUAAGUUGAAACUUUAUAUAUUAUUCUUAUAAUAUACCAAUUAAUAUAAGUAAAUUAAAUAAUAUAUUACUAAUUUUAAUAGCUGAUAAUUUAUAUGUCAAAUUAUAUUACAAAAAUAUAAUCUAUAAUAAUUUAUAUCUUCUUAGAAUCUAUUUGCAAAUCAUUAUUUGAAAUAAUAUAUUUAAAAAAAUACUUGACUUGUUAAAAAUAUAUAUUUUUUCAUCUUGAUAUAUAAUCCUAUAUAUCUAAAUUUUUGUAGUACAAGGCAAAGAUAUUAUUUAUGCAUUUCUAUACUCUUACAAUAGAUAAUAAUAUAGUUUAAAUAAUACAUGAAUAAACAUCUAAAAAUACACAAAAUAUGUUAUUUAUUCAAAUGUAGAAAGAUUGUUAAAGCAUUUGAAAGUCUAAAAGGCAUAACAUUGUAUUAAAAAUGAUUAUAUAUAGUUUAAAUUUUAGUCAUCUAUUCUUUUUCUUUUUAAUAUGUAAAAAAUUAUAAGUUCUUUAUAGAUCUUAACUUCAAUUCAUUAAUCAAAGAAACAUGUUAUUGAAAAGAAAUUUAUUUGAAAGGUCAAUAGAUUUAUUUUUGAAGAUUAACUACACAAUUAUUAAAUUAGUAUUUGAAAAUAUUUUAGUAUUUUUUAAAAAAAUAUAUCUUAAUUUUUGAAUAUGUUGAAGAAUUCUAUAAUAACUUUUACUUAGUAAAGAUUUGGUAUUGCAUAAAUGAUAAAUGGAUUUUUUUUUUUUAAAGCUUGUAUAAAUAUUGUCAUAGAUAUACUAUACAAGAGAUCAAAGAAGAAGUUGAUCAAAAGAGUUUCAAUAAGAGAGCGACUAAAAACUUGAUUAAAUUCGAUGAGUACAAGAUCAACACCAAGAAAAGUAAGCUAGAGCUUCAAAAGAUGUGUUUUCAAGACUAAGGAUCUUUUUAGCCUUGACUCCAAUAAUUACUAGGUAUUAAGAAGCUUCUUAAGAAGUUCUCAUGUUGCUUCAAGACGAAGUAACCUUAAGAAGCUUCUUGAGAAGUUUUCAUGUUGCUUGAAAAUGAAGCAACUUCAAAAAGCUUCUUCAAAAGUUUUUAUAUUGCUUGAAGAUAAAAAAAAAUCUUAAGAAGCUUCUCGAGAAGUUUUCAUAUUACUUAAAGAAGAAGCAACUUUAGAAAGCUUCUUGAGAAGUUCUCAUAUAGCUUGAAGAAAAAACAACCUUAGGAAGCUUCAUGAAAAGUUCUAAUAUUGCUUGAAGAUGAAGCAACUUUAAAAAACUUCUUGGAUAACUUUGUUAAUCUUCCUAGAAUUUUCUAAAAUCUGCCUAAAAUAUUUUGAAAAUAUUCUAGAACCUUUUAAAAUAUUUUAAAAAUCUUUUAGAAUCUCUUAUUUGAAUAUUUUUAAAAUCUUCUAAAACUUCAUAUUAAAAUAUGAUAAGAAUCUUCUAAAAUCAUAUAGAAUAUUUUAAAAAUAUUUCCAAAAACUUCUUAUUUGAUGUCCAUAAUAAAUAUCUUGGAUUUUAUUAUUAAAAAAAAUUUCUUUUUAAAUAUAAGAUAUAUAUUUUUUAUUUGUUUUUUUUUUUUUUUGAUAGAAUAGAUAAGUAGAAAUUCAAGACUAUAAGAUAUCUACUUCAUCUAUCAAUUAUAUUUAUUAUCCAUAAUAGUCUUAAAAUAAUAAGAUUGAUUGAAAAUUAGUAAUAUUAAAUACUAUUAGGUAUUUAUGACAUUUUAUCACUACUUUUAUUAGUAUAGAUUUGUAGAUAAAAAUAUCUAAAGAUAAUGGUUGUUUAUCUAUGACUUUUAUAUAUACAAGUUUGGCUCUUGUACCAACAAUAUCUUAUAUUUCUUAGAAAAAUCUUUAUUAGAAAAAUAAGUAAAAGAAUAAGAGUCUAACAAAGCAAAUGUUGUCAUAAUAAGAUUAUUAGAUUCUAAAAAAAAAUUAAUCAAAAAUAAAGAAAGUUAUAUAAAAUAUAAUAUAGGAACUUAUAAGAAGAUGUAAUAUAAGAAUCUAAACAUAUGUUUUUUAAUAUUAUUUUGAUUUUUUGACAUAUUAUAUAUUUUUAAAAUUUUAACAUUAGUCUUGUGAUUUUGUUGCUUUUAGGGAUAAUAUUAGAAGUAAGUUUUGAUUUUCUACAAUAUAGGCAUAAUUAUUUUUUAGUAUUAAGUUUGUUCUUAUACUCUAAGAGUGAAAUAAGAUCAAUCUAUCUUGAGAGUCUAAGACUCUUCUAAUCCACAGCCACUUAAAACCUCAUCACAAAGUAGGACAAAAUGGACCAAAAUAAACCUGAACAAAAUUAAACAAAAUAAGACACAAAAGACAAAGUUGUGCAAACAAAAAUAGAACAAAACAGAACUGAAUAAGAAGAUGCAAAACCAAACUUCACUAAGAAAGAAGGUCCAAAGCCAUACUUGACCAAAUGCCUAGAAGGCCUUGGUUAGUCCUAUUUAUACUUUGUUCUACCACCCUAGACUUUCUAGAAUGUUCUUAGAUGAUGGAUCCCACUUAGAUUACCGCCUUAAACUCCAUUUAGAAGGUUCUAUGGUAGAUCCUAUCUAGAUAACCAACCUAAGUCUUUUUCAAAAGGUUCCAUGGUGGAUCCCACCUAGAUAAUCAUCUUAAGCUCUUUCUAAAAUGUUCCACAGUAGAUCUUACAUGGUCCACUAACUUAGCCCUAAUUCUAGAAACUUCCAUAAUUUCUCAAGCAUGGUUCCAAUUAUCUAUCCUUAUAUAUUAACAAUACAAAUAUCUUAUCUAUACUUUGUUACAAAGAAAUUUGAAAUAUACAAUAUUAUUUUAUAUUUUUUUAUAUUUGAUAAUAUAUCAAGAAAUAUUUGCAAUCAUAGUAUACAAGCUUUAAUGUACUAAUGUCAAACUUUGUGUUUAAAAUUCAAAAAUUUGUUUAUCAUAUUUGACAAAAUAUUCAAUAGUUUGAUUCAAAAUUUGAGAAUUAGACAAGUUGGACAAUAUUUUUUUUGCAUAAUGUUGUAAUUUAUAUAAAAAUUGAUUAAUGAAUAUUGUAUUAUCCCACUUUACAUGAAUUAUUAAUUGUCAAAAUUGUGAUGCAUAUAUUGAUACUUAUUAACUUUUUUAUUGUAAAAAUUGAAUUUAUUUGGUUGUUAUAUAGUUUGCAUCAUGUUGUCCUUACAAAAAUUAAAAUUUUGCCUAAAAGAUAUUUAAAAUAUUAAACAUAAAAUCUUGUCUUUUUAAAAAUAAUAAGAACUAAAAAAUUAGAAAUAUAUUAAAUAAAAUUUAAACAAAAAUAAUAUAGGAUGCUUGAGUUGGAUAACUAAGAGAUUAGGGUUAAAUAAAAAGUUAUAUUUGGUUGAUGAAUCUUUAAAAUUUAGAUUAAAUAUUGUCAAAUUUCUUUAAAAAAAUAACUUUUGAUUCUUUAUCUAAUACAUUUGUAUAAGUUAUUUAAAAUAAUGAAAUUAUUAAAAUAAUUCAUUUUAUUUCAAUGUCUACAUGAUUAAUCUUUUUUUAAUAUUGAAAAAGAUGGUAGACAAAGUUGAUGCAUAGCAAGCAUCAAAUUUCUCAUUUGUUAUUCUAUUUAUACUAUAACAGUCUAUAUCUUUCAUAUAUCUUUUGUAUAUAUUAAGUCUUAUAAUUUUCUAUAGAAAAAAAAAGAAAAAAAUGGCACUAAAAAAUAUUUUAAAUUUAAAAAAGAAUAAUCUAAAAACUUUAAGAUACUUUGAUUUUUAAAAGAAAAAGAAAUAAUUUAUUAUUUAUUAAAAAAUAUUAAGCUUUAGUAUUAUAAAUAUGGUUCUAUUUAAAUUAUCAAAGACAUUAAUCUAAUAAAACUUAAAAGUCAAUACAUUUAUGUAUCAUUGAAGAAAAAAUAGAGAAUAAUGAAAAAAAUAUAGAUAUAAGAUAGCAAAAGAACAAAAAUAGCUAUUUCCAAAUGCAAAUAAAUUAGACAAUUUUGAAUUAGGAUUUUAAUAAAAGAGAUGUAUUAAUAAGAUAUAAGAUGAUCUUGCUUUUAUCUCCAUAUAUACUACUAAAAAGGCAAUAUAGUGGCUUUCUAAAGAUCAUGUGAUUAAUGAAACAAGUGGUUAAUAUGUAAGACAAGUGGCUAAUAUGUGCAAGAUAUAGCCAACUUGCAAAAACAUAUGUCCAAUAUGAUUUGAUUGUUGGAUGCUUUGGCUUGAGUAAUAAAUUAUUUUAAUGAAUUUACUUUUGACUUUGUUAAUAAUAAAACUUUGACAUUAUCUUUUAAUCCAAGUAGUCAAUAUGUGUGACAUUUGGUCAAUUUAUUGGCUAAGUUUUCAACUUGUCAAUCACCUACCAACUACCUACCAACACAUACAAAUCCAAAUCUAUGUCUAUGAAGCUUCUAAAAAGCUAUUCCACAAGAUAUUAUCAGAUUUACUUACUUAUUUUUACUUCUACCUAAGUAUUCUAAUCUAAAUAAUUACUAGUAUAAAUAUUUAUAUUUAUGACACCUCUAUAUAUACUAUCAAAUUAAUGAACUAUGUAGUGACAUUCUAUAGAUUACUUAACAUGUGUCUUACUUGUAAGAUAAGUCUUUUUUAUGUGCACCACAUGACAAAUUUGUACCACAAGUCGCCAAUAUGUGCAACAUAUAGUCAAGUUGUAAAGUAAGUGGUCAAUAUGUGGAACAUGUGGUCAACUUGUUGGUGAAGUUUUCAACUUAUCGAUUACCUACAAAUACUUAAAAAGUCAAAUCCGUAUCUAUAAAGCUUCUAAGAAGCAUUGCUAGAAGUUAUUAUCAAAAUUACUUAUUUCUAUUUGCUUUUGCUUAACUAUUCUUAUCUUUAUUAGUGUCAAUGUUUUCGUGAUACUAUAUCUAAGAAACAUCUAGGAUGCUAUUUGGAUAAGAUGUUAUUAAAUUAAUAUACUUCUAUUUAUUUCUAUCUACUUUGGUUUAUUUAAUUAAUAUAUGAUCAUAUUAUAAGUGUUGUCAAAUUGUCAAAGAUAUAAAUUUGAAAAGACUUCUAAAAAUAUAAUAUAUUCUAUAAAAGAAAUGAAGUUUUUUUUCUUUUUUUUUAAAAAAACUAAACUAAAUUAAAGAAAUUAUAUUUUUAUAAAAUAUAAAUAUUCUAAAAUAUUUAUUAUUAAAUUUAAAAAAUUUAAAAAAUUAAUUAAAAUUAGUAAAAUAUUGAUAAAAGUAAGAAUGGCCUUAGUCUUCUCUCUAAAGAUAUUAACUAAUAGAAAGACCAUAAAAAAACUUUCUAUCAACCACAUGACUUGUAGUUAAGCGUCCAAGUUUUAAAACACUUCUAUAGAAGUUUCUUAAAGAUAAAAGAAACUUUUGCAGUCACUUGACAUAUCUAAAAGAUUUUGUGGAUAUAAUCAUAGUCUAAAAUACUUCUUUAAUGUUUCUUAAGGAAUAUAUUUUUACCUAAUAUGUUUUUAUAAAUAUAUUUCUAAAAACUUAUAUCAUUGAUAUACAAUUCUAGAAGUAAUAAUAAAAUUUAUUAUAAAAACUAAUGAACACAUAUGUAAUUUUUACUAAACCAGUAUCAGAGAAAAUGAAAAACAUAAUUUUAGAAUUUGUACUAAACCAUAUACAAGAACCAUAUAAAUCCUUUUUUUUUGUACACACUUGCAUAUCUUUGGAAGCUACUAGAAGACUAACUUUCCCAUUAACAAAAUUCCAAGGAUAACUUGCUACCAAAGGGAACCCAAUCGCUAUGGUCCAAAAAUAGCGUGAUGAAGGCUCCAAGGAACGAGCAACGACGGUGACGCCCAUUCAUCCACCACCAUUCAUCAAAAUUGAGGAUGGAAGCUGAAAAAGGAAGCCUUCCAUCGGGGAUCUGGAGGCUUUUUCAAGGUUUGAAUUCCCCUCCAUUGGGCCAUAUUCUAGUUUCCGGUGAAGCUGUAGGGUUUUUCCUCCACGCAUAGAUUGCGUCGAAUUGCCUCACAACAUCACUGAUCUUGUCGCUUAACAAGCUUAUAACGAUCUGGUGCACAGCUGUUGGAACCAGGGGUGUGAGAACUGUAGCAAGCGAGCGAGCAGGGGAUAGGAAAGAGCUGUAGAGAAGUUUGGAUGUGAGUACGCACAGCGAGGAAGAGGUUUGCAGGGGAAGAGAUGACACGGUGAUUGUAGAGGACUCACGGAAGGAGUUUGAAGUGGCCGAGAGUGUAGUGGAUCCUAUGUGUUGCCCUAGAGAGGUGCGUACUCAAGCUGGCGGAUGUCUCUAGCUUGGUCGAAUUUUCCUUGGUUACUUACUCAGUAGCUGGGCUGAGUUCUGCGAGUGAUGAGGAUUGGAAUGAUUGCGUAGGGAGAGAAAGAUGUGAAGCUGCUGCACUCCAGUCUGUGCACUGUCAUUAUUGUUUGUAUCAGUCAUCGGGUUGGAGCCGCGAAUUUCUCCAGGUGGGAAUUUCGUAUUUUGUUUUUUUAUUUUAUUUUCUUUUCCCCUUGUUUUUAAUUUCUUUUUGGAUGUUUUAAUUUCUGUUUCCGUGUGUCGCCUUUCGUUACACUCUUUCUUUCGCUAAAGAGUGUUAUAAGUUCGAUACGCUCUUUCUUAUUGUUGCGCAUUCAGAGAUUGAUCGUUAGAACCUUUUCCUUUUUGAAUGAUCCAGCGGCAGAUAUGGCGUCCGUGAUUUAUCUCGACAGCAGUGACGAUGAGCAUGAGCCAGUACCAAAACGAGUUGAGCAGCAGAUUCCUUCCCACGUAAAGCAAUUGGACAGCGUGAAACCUAGCGCUGCUCAAGGCAAGGUUGAAAGGAUUCAUGGAGAUCCUAGUGCUCAGCGAAAAUCCGUUGAACAUUUGAGUGUACCGAGUGCACGAAGUAAUGCAACAGUCUCUAAUGACCAAGCACGAGAGCCUACAGGUACUCAGCCUGAGAGUAGAGAAAAAUGGACGCCUGUACCAAAGCGUACGAGCGCUGCGGAUGUGGUAGGUCCCUCUAGUGCAGAAGAAAAUUCUCUUUCUCGUCAUUUCUGGCAGGCAGGAGAUUACGAGAGUCAGGUUGUAAUGAAGAAGAGGCCUCUUGCAGGUAUUUUUGUGUUCCACUCCCUCUUUCUUUCAGCCUUCGUCUGCUUUAACUCGAGUUGCCUAGCUGUCAUUUGCAAAUUAAUUCAGAAACAAGCCACGAUUAUUUUACUUUGUCAGAGGUUUUGUGAGUAUAAUCUACUGGUUCAACGAUUUAUGAUGUAUUCAAUCUGAGAGCGCUGGGCAAUACUUUUGUGGCAGUUGCACGACAAAAGUAAAAUCAUCACUGUGUGUGUGAAAUGGCAGGGGCUCUGGAUCAUGUAAGAGUGCAUCCCAAAUUCUUACAUUCAAAUGCCACGUCUCACAAGUGGGCUCUUGGAGGUGUGUUUUCUAUUUUAUUUGAAAAUGACCGGAAAGUUCUGCGGAAACUCCCUUUGACACCAUAUGAUAUCUACUGUGCUGUAAAAUGUGCUAGUUGGUAAUGUUAAGCAAGUGAUUGUUUCGAUUGUUGGUCUCUCUCGUGUUAUACCUUAGUGAUUCCAAUGUUAGUAAACUUUCGGAAGUCUCGCUAACUUUGAUGGAUGAGCCAAAUCCUUCUUAUCAGCAGAAAACAGGAGGUUCCACCACAAUAGACAAGUCUGUCGUAGUUGCUGCUACACAUAAAUUUAUUCUAUACACUUCGAGAGUUUUUGUAGUCUUGAUCUGAUGUGCUGUGAAGUAACACAACAUCGAGAGUGUACAGAAUUAUUCUCAUGUGUGCCAAGGUGCAUCAGAUAUGUUUGUUGUAGUGAACGUCACAUUAUAUACUGUUUAAUUCAUGUGGCUUUUGUCAGAUGUUGCUUGUUCUCUUCUUUCUUAGUUAAUAGGAACUUAUAUGUCCUUGGCAGCCAUUGCGGAGCUCUUGGACAACGCUAUCGAUGAGGUGAGUCGUGCUUUAAUGGUUCUGUAAAGUUCACUCUCAUUUCUGCGUGCAUCUUUGGAACUGAUAAUAACAAUACAUACGUAGUCUAGAAUGGUGGUUACUGAAAUUGCACGUGGGCGUGUGCACAGGUUUCGAAUGGAGCUACCUAUGUGCGGUUAGAUAAAAUAAAAAAUGCACGAGAAGGCAGUCCUGCUCUUCUUGUUCAAGGUUCUCCCCUAUCACUCGCUGUACGUAUUUUCCUGCUUUGGGUAAAUUAAUAAGAUGUUUGAAUUACCUUGGUUGACGGUUAAACAUGAAAAAUUGGUUGUUGCAGAUAAUGGAGGGGGUAUGAGCCCAGACAAUAUUCGGCAAUGCAUGAGCUUGGGGUAUUCCCUCAAAAACCAGAAGACCACCAUUGGGCAGUAUGGAAAUGGUUUCAAGACAAGUACAAUGCGAUUAGGGGCAGAUGUUAUUGUAUUCACUAGGAAUCGAAAUUUGAAAACUGGGUAAGCGGAACUGUUUUCAUGUGCUUUCUUUUUUCUGAAAUAUUGGAAAGUGGGGAGUUUUUGCUGUUACAGCUGAAGUUAUGCAAACUUCCAUUAUGUUAGAAUACGUUUUUUUGUAUCCUGGGACACGCAAUGUGCGUUGAAGUGUUUUGAGGUGAGGUACAGAAAAUCUUGAUUUCGGUAUUGUUUCAACUUCUUCUGCUACUAGUAUUAUAUUGUGGCAAUCUGCUGCAGGAAGUCGACACAAAGUAUUGGGUUACUGUCUUAUACAUUCUUGAGGAAGACUGGACACGAAGAUACGGUAGUGCCUAUGGUAAGUUCGAGGGUUUUGUGUGCUGCGCAUUUUUUGAUCGUGGAAGUCAACCAGACUUACCUCGAGAUUCUACCAUGUUUAGAUAUUUCAUGGGCCUUAUGAUCUUACUGCGUAUUUGAUCUUUCUGAUGGAAAAUCUGUAUACUUCUGAAUUUAAAACUAGCUUUUGGGACACUGUUUAGUUACUCGUGACAUUCAUGCACCUUCAUAGUAGUAGUGCACAAGUAAAGUUACCUAAUAAUUGAUUCCCCGUUGGAUUUAAGCACUUGAAAAGCUAAUGCUAAAAUAUAGCCUUGAAGGUCCUAUACGAAAUAUAUAUAUUUGUAAUCUCUUUGAUUUGUCGUGUGUAAAUUGUCAGCUGGACUAUGAGUUAGAUGCACACUUGGUUAAGCCGUCAGUUCUGUUACGCACUACAAUGGACGAUUGGCUCAGCAAUCUCAAUACAAUUAUUAAGUGGUCCCCAUACAGUUCAGAGCAACAGCUCUUGAGUCAGGUACUGUAUUAUCAUUUGAACUUUUCUGGUGCUUUGCGUGAUUUAGGAAACUACUUGUGAACUCUCAAGCAAGGCUCUGGCGUGUAGUUUUCCAAUCUCCCACCGUCUUCUAUGAUCAGUUUCGUAGUACCGCAGUCUCAGUAGAAGUACCCGGUGACGUCAAGUGCCUUGAAGUGUCUUAAACUGUCUUGAUAAUACUUCAAGUGCCCUAAGACAAUUCAAGAUACUUCGCGUCAUCUAAGGUCAUUAAGUGACGUCUACUUCUGAGGAAUUACUAGGUUGCACUGGAUCUACUGCUGGUGAAUGACAACGGCUGUAUACUAACAACGUGCUUUUCUGCGAAUCAACAGUUCAAUGAUAUAGGUUGGCAUGGAACUAAAGUUAUCAUCUAUAAUUUGUGGCUAAACGACGAUGGCAUCUUGGAGCUGGACUUUGACUCUGACGAACAUGUAUAAAUCUGAUUGUAUCCCGUGUGCUUUGAACGUGUCCCUCAACUUUUGAUUUUGUUUUGCUUCAUGUAGUCUUAUUUAUUUAUUUAUUUAUUUAUUGCAACAUCAAAUAUGAAGUUGUGUUGUUUUGCAGGAUAUCCAAUUACGAGUGGCUUCUAAGGAAUUACCUAAGAAUCAUACCCUCCCAUCGCUUCUUUCAAAUGAGCAUAUCAGCAACCGCUACCAGCUUUCUCUUCGGGUAAUUGUCUAUCUCCACACAAGGACUUUGUAAGUGUAUUUUAGAUGCAAGUAAGACACUCUUUCGUAGUAGUCGCAAAAAUUCUGUCUUUCUCUCUUAUAUCUUUGUGUGCAAUAAGCAGUGGGAGUACAUGCAAAGAUAGUUGUUUCAAGUUUCGUGGACAACGUCAUCUCUUUGCGGAAUACUAAAUUUGCUGAAUACAACGUGUGGAUUAAACUUGCUGUUGCAGGCAUAUGCCUCAAUAUUGUAUUUAAAACUGCCAGAGCACUUCAAAAUCAUUUUAAGAGGCCAACCUGUGGAGCACUAUGAUAUAGCUGAGGAUCUCAAAUUCAAAGAGUACAUUAUCUACAGACCUCAGAUUGGACCUAGCAAGGAGGCCUCAGUGACAACCACUAUAGGAUUCUCAAAAGAGGCACCCAUGAUUAAUGUUCACGGUUUCUGUGUCUAUCACAGAAACCGACUUAUUAUGGUAUGCGUCAUCUAUUCUAUUAAAGAACAGUUCACGUUCAAGCUCUUGGUUCAUAAUUGAUAGAUGACUAUGGCACUCGAUUCUACAACAUGUUCUGUGAUUUUUGAUCCCUAUUGCUUAUUGUUUGGAUUCUCAUGGCCAAAAUUCUUGGUGGACAGCCGUUUUGGAAAGUUUUCCAAGAGAAUAGCAGUCGAGGUAGGGGUGUCAUAGGUGAGAUUUCUGCACUUCUGGACUUCUGAAGUUAGGAACCCGUUCUGAUGGAAUUAUAUGUUCACCUCUCUUCAUCAGAAAGUAAAAUGUAAUUAUGCGGUCAAUGCUGAACAUUGUAGAAUUCAUAGAAUUGGCAGUGCCCGUGGGUUGACUUGCGGGGCUAAACCAUACCCGAACUUUUUUCUUUUUUUCUUUCUCCUUUGCUUAUGUUUUCCUCCUCUCGUCGUCUAUCCUUGACAAAUGUGCUUAUUGUGGUUUGGUGAAGGAUUCUCUAGUAUCACAUGUGAAAGACCUUAAUUUUAUGUUACAAUUGCGUUCAGAUAAAUCAAUUUAUUGAAGUCAGUUUGGUUCAUCUCGUUGGCAGGUGUACUGGAGGCAAAUUUUAUGGAGCCUGCCCAUGACAAGCAAGACUUCGAAAGGACUUCAGUUUUUCUACGACUCGAAGGUCGCCUCAAAGCCAUGACAAUUGAGUACUGGUGUGGGCUUUUUCUACUUAUAUUUAAGCUUUUACUUUUUUUUUUAUUUUUAUAUUUGUUCCUUUUUUCUUAGGUGGUUCUGCUCCACGUUGUGGAGAUUCUCAUUUUUCAUUUUUUUGUAAUUUUUGUUUCAAUGCAUUUACCGUGUUGUAUUAUAGUUUUUCGAAUUUAUUAUGGUCUGAAUCUUUGGUCUGGACUUCAGGAAUUUACAUUCCCAUCUUAUUGGCUACAAGAAAACCAUUAGGCCCAAGCAAACUGCACCUCAACCUUUAGACACCUCGAGACCAAAUACCACAUCCUCCGCGCCUCUGGUCACUGCAACGGAGCCUUCUCCUACAAGUUCAAGCUCUAGUGGUCAGCCAAGAGCAUCGGGCCCCUCCACCCCUCCUAGAGCUGGGGUAGAAACUAUAGACGCAGACGGAACACUACAACCAUCAGGAAAUGGCGCUGCAACUCCUCUUACUUCCGUAGAGAGGAUUGCAGUAGGCAAUCCACUUCCGGAGAAAGUGAAGGUAGAGAAGGGGAGUCGAAAUCCUCCUUCAAAAAGAUCACGUGACCAAGAGGACAGUUUGGUUGAAGCUUCCAAGCGACAGCGGUCAAGUUCAGAGGCUGUUCCCUUGGCUUCACGCGGAGCUGGUGACAUAAUUGCAUCGACGCCGGAUAAUGGGGCCUUUGUAGUUUUGGAACAGCAGAAUGCCAUUCUUCGUCAGAAGUAACAUCCAUUUGACCUCGAUCUUACCAUUUCUGAGACCAAAUGGUUUGUAAAUAUGGUGUCCUAUUGAAUUUUGACAGUGAAUAAUUGUACACUCGUUUCACGCAUACAGUUAUUGUUUGUGCUUUUCAGAUGUGCGGAAUAUGAGUUACGUGAGCGACAUUGGGAGCAAAAGCUUCUUAUGCUAGAACAACGAGAGAAAGAUUGGGAGGUGAAGGUAAGCUUAACUUGCAACAGCUGAAAUUCCUAUGUGUUACAUCUCUUCUGAUUUUCCAUUUCUCAUCUUUGCUAUGUAUCUUUCUUCGUUGAAAUAUGCGUGGUGAAGGAGGGAUUAGUAUCUUGACAUACUAUAAGGGGAAGUAGCCUUCGCCCUUCAGUACAAGACUAAAUUAGCACUUUAGGAAGCUCUCUUUGCCAGCCUGAGCUCCACACAAUCUUCAAGACAUCUUUUCACAAGGAAUCCGCAAUCUAGUGUAGUGUUUUUGGAUUUAUCUUUGUGAGAUCCUAAAGUUGAUGCUUACUUCGAACUUUGACACUUCUAGCUGAAUUCAAAAGUAAACAAAAACAAAAUGCGGCUAGUGAAGUGUAGCUGGCUAUAGAUGAAUUUCAAAUGCGCUUUGCAAACAAAUGAUCGAGAACUAAAAGAAAAGUUCGGGUUUUCUGAGAAGUCAAAACAACCCUCAAGCUAAUUUUUUUGAUUUCAUUAACAUUGUUGGGUAUCCUUGAAGGUUGAAAUUCUCACUAUAAUGCACGCCUCUAACUUGUGUUGGUAUGAGUGGCUUUGAGACCUGUGUUGUGGGGUCCAAAAUUUUUGUAUGCAGUGUAAUAUUUUAGAAGUGGUGCUACUUGAUUAUUUUAUACCUAAUUUAAAAUCUUCGUUGAUUUCCUUGAGCCCUUUCAAAUGCAUGUUUUCAGGUAUCGACAUUGGAACGAGAAGUUGAGGAGCAGAAAUCUAAGUACGUCAUGCUCAUGAGCCAAAUGAAAUCAUUGAGUGCAACAGAAGCACAGGCUAGUAAGGUAUGAAUUCAGUCCUUACUGCCACUGGACCUUGAAUGUCCCUAGCUUUUUGAAUGGAGUACAAACAGAACAAUGUGCCAAAGCAUGCCUUUUCACUGACAUUAGGGGUUGGUUGUCAUUCUUGCAGAGAAACGGAGUUCUUGCAGCGACGACUGGCGUGAUAAAAUCGGAGCGUAGUUAACAGAUGCAGAAUGACUGUCUUUGAAAAUUCAUUCAACAUACUCUUCUAUCUAGCAUGUACUCUGAGGAACUCUUGACACAUUCCUUGGAGAAAAUUUGAAAAUCAAAGCACGUGAUGCGUAGAAAUGGUGAUGGGAUUAAAAACUCAGCAGCCCAUCAAUUGAGUUGCACUGAUUUAUGUAUGAGAUAGUAGAUCCCAGUAAUCCUGGGCAUAAUUUUUGUACUGUAGGAAAGAAGUGCCUGAUGUACUCCACGAUUUAGACUGAUUUUUGUAAAGGAAUUAUUGAACUUAAAAGCCACUUCAGUGGGAAAAAAAUUAUUUAUUACCCUUGAUGUGCAUUGUGGUUCACAUUUUUCAACUGUGUUGCAAGAUCCCACAAACUGUUUGUAGUGCUUUGGAAGUUUGUUUGAGAAUUUGAUGUGUGAUCGAGACACUAUCUAUGAAAGGAUUGACCAAUGAUGUGAAUGCCUUGUUUAUGAAAUUCUACCGCAUUAGUUGCUGAAAGCUUCCUUUCUGAUCAAAACUUACCUCCAAAGCUCUAUAAGUCAAGAUUGGCAUUAAGAAAAAGGCUACACUAGCUAUUAGCUUAAUCAAGUAGAUAAAUUUAUUAAUUGUGUUGGCGUGAACUGUGACACUUCGGAGCCUUAUGGAAAUAAAAAACCACGGAAAUUGUUUCCAAACAACAUAGAUGUUGGCCAUUCAGCCAAUGAGAAGAAACAAGGUGCAUAGUAAGUGCCUGGUCAUCUUUGAGUCCACUUAAGCUGUGUCAAACAUCCCCAACCAUAUUCGGCUGAAUUCGCUUCGGCUAAACUUGCUUUUAUUAGGUGGAGAAAAGACAAUUUGUCCCACAGGACUGAACUUAGAAGCACAUCCACUAUGACCACUUGUUAUGACCAUAUGGACUAAUAUGUAGAAGACAACACGGUUCUAUACAACAGGAGGUGUUGAAAAAGCCUCUAAUGUCUAACAUCCUGACAUUUGGACACUAAAGUCCAACAAUUUGACAAAACAUUUGCCAUACAAAGAUCCGAUAUGCAACACGGCCUUGUUCACCUUCCGAAAGCCUUCUAAUCAAACAAUUCUACUCUCAACAGUUUUUGAGCAGCAAAAAGCAAUAGUUCAUGUAGAGAAUAGAAGAGAUUGACAACUAAAAGCAUUCUUCUUGCAAGAAGCACCAAACAAGAGCUUGGUGUAAAUUCUGAAAGGUGGCAAACUAGACGUAGUCUACAUUAUGAUGCAACGACUCUGCUGCUCCUCUGCCCCUGGUGUCUGAUUUGGUAAUCUCCUCAUGUCAGGUGAAUUAGAUGAGAACUCAGUUGUGUCCAAGCCAUACUGCAGAAUACAGAGCUCAAGACUUAGAACAGGAAGAGUUCACCACAAAAGGACAUGGAAAUUUAAAAAGCCGUCAGAAUUUGGUAUCACAAAUUUCACGACAAGACAUGGACAUUCAAAUUGGAACAAAAGAUAAAUCAUGCCUUUUCCCGCAUCCUUGUGCUCCAAGCAUCACUACGAGGAGGUCGAGCUUCUGUUGCAGCCCCAGAACCCGAUGCAGGGGGAGGCUGAUUUGCCUGCCGGUCGACUACAGGUCGGCGGGGAGCUGACCUGGCCACCAUGUAAUCUUCGUCACUGUCGUAGUCUCUCCGUGCACUCGAAGAGAUAGACCGGAGUAUAAAUGCGAAGAAUAAGCCAAGUGCCUGCAUUGAACAAUACAUUAAGUCUGGCUGCCAAGAAUAUCAAGCAUUAUUACAGAUUGAAUGUCGACAUUCAUAUUGCACAAAAGCAAAAGAAUAAGAGAAAAUGUAUAGAAUUACAUAGAGGAUUCGACAGGUUUUUCAAAGGUUAAGCACGUGAGAAGACUCUACAUUAAAAUACUCGAGACCCUCUCAAACAAUAUCGCCGUGCUACUUCAUUUUCUAAGAAUUCCUUAGCACAACAUCCCAGGAGGAGUCAGAAAUUCGAACAGAAGAAAUCACAUAAACCAAAAAAGCAACAACCGAAGAUAAGUUGAAACACUCACUUCUAGGACCACCACACCUAACGAAACCCACUUGCAGAUAUCUAGAUUGUUCAAUACAAAUUCUUGAACUUUGUCCAACUCCCCGGUGGGAUCCUCUGGUAUAUCCUGAAACAAUACAUAGCCACUUCAGAAAAGUGCCGAUUAUCUCCAGAAAUACAUUGAAAGAGAGAAUCUGGCGAUGAACAUUCUCUGAGUGAAGAAGAGAGUCGAGCAGGAACCUCACCUCUCGCCAAUGCCGAUCAAAGAAAAGAGCUCCAGCAACUGCGAAUUGUGCCAAUAGAAGCAGAAUUUGAAGUACACUAUACUGUAAUUUUCGUUCAGGAAAACUUCACAAGCACAUCAAGAAUACAAUGGCAGUGUUACGGAGGGAUUUUAACAAACCCUACUCAAAUGAUAAAAGUCAUUUUAACAUGUUACAUCUAUGAACAUGAAAGGCUAGAAUAACGAGGACAAAAACUCUCUCCCUUCAUUUCUUUCAAAAAAUGGAACUCAAAUGUGGGAUACACAUGAAAGACAGAAGCUGUUGCUCAACUCAGCUGCAAUAUGUCCCGUCAAGGAGACAAAGCAAGUGAUAGCCCCGGCACCGAAGAAUGCGUAAAUAAACCUGCAUCAACUACUUCUUCAAGUGAGCGAGCAUCUUAUUCCCUAACUUGUCACAAUCAAGGCCAGAACGCGUUGAGGAAAUUACGAAAUACAGAGAUAUAUACGCACUUAGGGCUCAAACUGAGAGCAAACCGAGUGAAGGGUGGCAUAUACUGAUAAAUCGGACGUGUAACGUACCAAGGAGCAGGAAGUUUUGAUAUGUAUAAGCCUUCUUUCAAGAGAGGCCUUGCAAUAGGUUCCACCAUAAACCCUUCAGUAAGUUGAACCCCAUCAGAUGACAUACUUAUAUCCCCGCCUGAUAAAAGCGCAGGAGCAUUAACAAGUGUCUCUUGAUCAUGAGGGCCAAAGGAGCUCCAUUCUUUUAGCAUCCAAAGUGAGUAUACUAUCAUGAGGGCCCCAACCAACGUUACCAAAAAAUUGAUCAACUUCAGAAUACAUUGGAUGAAUCCCUGGCAGGACAUCUCGACUUGAAUUCUGGGUCUACAACAAGCCGCUCGCACAGGGAUUAUAUAUUUUUUACGUUAACGGAGACAUUUAUGGUGCCACCAGCUCUGCACGACAAAAGACAACAAAUUAGGCAACCAGUUCAUAACAAACACUCUCCAACCCCUUCGAAGUCACGGCUUCAAAUGAAUUGAGAAAUUAUUGACAUCAUCCGAGCUAGAAUCCAGGGACAUGCUCAUUCAGCAAUAAAAACAAACCCAAAAGACAUCUAGACUUGCUCACUACAGAAUCUAAAAUGAUAGUUGAGUUCGCCGAUACGAAAUUUACAACCGGCUUUCUGAGCAAUGAAAAGCUUAGAAAGCUCUGGAUUUCUUAAACACGAAGCAAAUCGCAAGCUAUGCUUGUGAUAACUGUCACCCUGAAAAUAACUUCCAACCCGCAAUAAACCCAAAAGCACUAAUCCAUCUCCUACCCACAUUGCCCUAAUUCAUCACUCAACAUGUUUCACACCCUGAGGCAGCUCCAGCUAAAUUCACAACAGCUGCAUCCCCAAAAAAACCCUCUUCCGCUCCAUCGAAACCAAAAAUCCCACAAACCACACGAACCACAGCUCAUUCCCACACCCGCGAUCCCCUGGUCUACGAAACACCCUAACAAGCAACUAACACCCACACACAAACGCCCCAAAAACCACCCGAUUGUCCGAAGGUUUUAACAGCGACUCAUCGACACCAGCAACAUCCUCCCGCACCCAUCCACACGGGUACCCAACAGCUACAGCAACGCAACCGAUGGCAUGUGCUGGGAGGCGAAAACAGAGAGACCAAGAGGCAGGAAACAGUAAGUCCGCCUACCAAGCCCCAAACUCUUCAGCGCAAGUGGAGUGGAGCUUUGGGUUUCCGCGUUCGUGAAAGCUUGUGCUUUGUGCUGCUUGUGCCCUUCGCCGUAGACCUCGGUUUGGCUUGGCUUGGCUCAGCCUCCCCUUUGGAUUCAAGCUACAAGAGCUGCAACAAGAGCAGUGGCAGCAACAGUGGCCGCGGUGAAGGGGGGGAGCCGCCGUGGAGGAGGGGGCCAAGGCGCGGUGGUGCCGAUGGUACCACGGCCAUAGCCGUCACCCGCGCCGCGCCCUUGGGUGACUCGGGCCCCACCGCACCUAUUUCCCGGUCACCGUUUAUUUUGUUUCAGGUUGUUGUUGUCCCGGUUCUGGGCUGUGUUCAGACGACACUAAAUAUGACUUGCAGGUUUUUAUGAAUUAUUUUUUUUAUUCUUGUCGCUGUUUAAGUUUUUUUUGGGUUCAAUUCUUCCAAUUAGUAUCUACAGUGUUCUUCUCUUGAAUGGAUUUUUUUUCUUAAAAAAAAACAGGUGAUUUAAAUGUUUUUCUUUAUUCUUUUUUUCUUUUGUUUCUCUUUUUUGAAUUAAUAUAAUGGUUUGUGAACAAAGAUCAAUGUAUUCAUUCAUUGUUCAUUGGAGAAUUUGUUGAAUGUGAAUGUUUACGUAUGGAGAUUUAACAAAGUUUAAAAAUAAUUUGUUGGUUUCUGUGUAAAGAUAGAUGUUUUUUUUAGCAAACCACUGAAUAGAUUCAAACUUGUUUAUUUUCCUUUUCUGAAUUCAGAAGAAGAGACAUGUGAUUAGUUUAGGAUCCAAGAAAGGUAGUGACUUUUACAGUUUUCAUUCAAUAAAUUACAUUACAUGAUCAAUUUUCAAAAAAUAUAUUGAGUUAUUUCAACUUAAAAAGACUUGUUACAACAAUUUUAAAAACAACAUAUUCCAGGUUUAAAACAACUCUUAAGAGUCCAAACUUUACCAUUUACCUAUCCAAGAUGAAAUAAAACGUGAAACAUUUUGAUUUAUGUUUUAAGUCUCUAAGACAAUCCACCCAAUUUAUAAAAUAUUUAUAAAUUAUUUUAAGAACUUUUAAACACCAUAAAAGAUAAAUUUCCCCAAAAUUGAUAGUUUUAAUGCCAUUACAACUAUGUUGAACUGUUCUUAAAAACAUGACAUGACAAAAUGAUGCCAGCCAAAUCACAACAACUAUGCAUGUUACAUAUACAACCAAAUUGCUGUUUAAAAAAUUAACAAAAAUGAACAAAAAUUACUUAAAAAUUCUCACAGAGAAUACUAUCACCAAAAAAUGCAUAAGGGGAGCCUUGUUGUCAAAUCAAAGUUUCUUAAAUCAAAAUCACAGUAAAGCAUCUCACUCUUAUAAAAGCAUAAUCAGUCACUGAAUGUCAAAAGAAAAUAAACUUGAUGAAUGAACAAGUCUAUGUAAUUGAACAUGGUGCCAAUGAUUCUCCCAACCCAAGAUCAGCUCCCAUUCACGAGUUUGCAAAUUCGAAUUCUAUUAAGCAAAAUGAGAAAAACAAAGCCCUAAAAUUAUCACCACCUUUCUGUUUAAUUAACCCAAACAUGGUGACAAACGCAGCAUCAAAUUCCCAAAACUAGUGAUUUCUCUUCCCUAAUGCAACUCCCUCCAACUCACAACUUGUUGCAUUCUUUUGUCACAUGCUUUGAAGAAUAUAUCAGUGGACUGCUCAUCUCUUCCUCGGAUUGUGUUAACUCAUUUAUCAACCCAUUUCUCAUGCGUUAAUUCACCAUGCAGCACAGCAUUCUUCAUAUAUAAUUGUAAUAAAGCAACCAUGAAAGCUGGCUCUGCUAAAUCUACCUCUCCACACAACGCCAACAUGCAUUUCCAGUGUGCUUUGAAAAUAGAAAGUAUGCGGGUUUAUAGUAUUAAGUGUGCGGGGGAAUGGAUUGGGAAACAGGCAAAACUGACGAAGGUGCAAAGCACAAUACCACCAGAUAAAUUUCUCAAGAGCAACAUUCCUCAUUGGAGUUGCAAAAAAUACCUCAAGAGAGUGUGGGUUUCGCGACUUCUGCUAUGGUCCUGCUCCACCGAUGUUAUGCAAAACCCUCUCUGAACGCGAGGAAGAUACAAUGCACGACGUUUCCUGAUGCUACAACCACCGGCAAUCAAAGAAAAAGCGAUUAGUGGGCUCGAUUGUGUGGAAUGAAUCGAGACCAAACCUCAAUGUUGGGCUCCGGUAGGUGUUCCUCGUACCUGCAGCGAACCAUCAGGACAGAGCACUAAUCACAAGGUCAGCAUCGAACAGAACCGAAACGAACCGAAUCGUAGAAUGUGGUGGGUUUUUGAGUGUGUACUGUUUUAGGAACCAUAGACCGAUCUGGUUGAACUUAGAGACACAUCUCGUUAAACAAAAAACUCGGAACGAUCCAGUAAAGAUCUCCACUAUAUCCGCACAAUUUACGUACCCAGCAUCCUUAAUGUCGUGGUGGGUGUAAUCAUCGUCAGCUACGGCUAGCUUGCACAUCAGGUCGGGGGCCACAUGCUUUGAUUCAAGAGCAGCGGAGACUUGCAGUGACAUAUUGAGCAACUUCCGAGUACAUGAUCUGAUAAGAAGACUUGAGGAGCUUUGGGGAAGGAAGGAUGAAAUUAGGGCAAACAGUAGCUACUGUUUUGAAAAUAGACUUGUCGUCAGCAGUAAGCUUUGCACAACCCCCGAGGAAGGCAAAGGAGGGGGUGAACAGCGAAAAGUCGCACGCACGCACACACGCACAUCCCCGACAUGAAACUGUCUAUAGAAGCAAGAUAUGGAUGCAAGAUAUAGUAUUCACUUAUAUGGCGAUGACCGUGAUGACCAUGAUUUUGAAUUCGUCACCACGGCAGUGGAUCAAUUGACGGGGGUCUAGAUCCGCAGCAUGUGACCGUGGGGGGGGGGGGACUGCUGGCACCGGCCUGUGAAAGCGGUACAACUUGCCCCAGUCUACGAUUUCGUGUUCUGACUUGGCAGAGAUGACCAUUGUGCAGCUUUAGCCGGCCAUGCGCCACGUCUUAAAUGGGCCCACGAGGGGGUGACGCAUGUAUG
RNAcentral lists this long non-coding RNA (50490 nucleotides) under Physcomitrium patens. RNAcentral's name for it is "long non-coding RNA (PPAT_LNC014727)". Lineage: Eukaryota; Viridiplantae; Streptophyta; Bryopsida; Funariales; Funariaceae. The record is from RNAcentral.